UCUCAAGUUUUCUUGCUUCUCCUCGUUUCGUACUGGCCCGUGUUUAGGAGUUUCUUAGAGCUGUUCAUAUGUAGUAGCUGUGAUGGAUCUGUGAUGUAGUUGAAGUGGACAAAUCUUAGUGCUUUGCAGUCUUGUAUUGCUUAAAAGAGCGUUUCUUAUGGAAGAGGAACAGUUACCUUCCCCUUUUCAUGUCUAUUUUGCCUGAAUUUGUUAAAUUCUAUGUUCUGAAAAAAAAGUAACAUAUACUCCUGAUAAGAUAAGAGCUCUAGAACGUUGAAUAUUGAUGACAAUUGUGUUUGGGGUACCUGGUCUUUUAUUUACUUGAGAAGGAAGAACAUACUUUUCACUUACAGACAUACAUCAUGAAAACCUUUGUCACCUUUUGCGUAAGAAAUCGAAUGUACAGGAACCAAAAGAAUGAACUGGGGAUGUUGUUUGUUAACAACUUUUCUGUUAAGACACUGAAAUACUGAAUGAACUCACUACUGGGGAGGGGGGUGUUACUUAGAUGAUUGGGCCAACCUAUAUGCUUUGAGACAGUCGUACCGAGGUUUCAUUUUCAGUCACGUCCCAGCAGAGUCCUUUUUAGUUCUGCUUGAGUUUUCACUUCGUGGAGCUGAAUAUUCAGCAUAUUCAAUUGGACAACUGAAGAAACUCACUAUCCUGAAUGAAUAUAACCCUAUCCUGAAGGUGGAUGUAUUUUAGUGACCCUUUCAAGCAAUUACAUAUGGGAAAAGGAUCAGGCAAUAUUGAUACCCUGAAACCUACACAUUAACAUUACUUGGGUUGAUGAUUGCUGCAACACGUAUACACUUUGAACAAUUACUGGUACCCAAGCCAAAAUCCUCAAGGAACCUCUGGUAGACACAUGAAGAUUUCUGUACAAAGUUACCAGAGACAAAAGUUUGUGUUCACUUCUUUUACAUACAGGUAUUAGGAAAUUGAAGAAGAUGGAUUCUAAAUUUUCUUCUUUAUAUAUUGAGGUUAUUCUUUAUGACAUGUUUUACUUUAAAAUUUGCAUGGUAUCAAAUGUGAAUAUGUUCGCUUAGCCGGAUGAAUAGUUUAUGUUGGUUAUAGAUGCUUCAUCGAGAUUCGUUGCGGUGCUUAUAGGCUAUUAUCCCAACCUUCAUUUUUAUCCUUUAUUGACCAACUUUUGUUAAGGAAAAUAUAUUCUCUGGAUAAUGUAUUCUGUCUUAUUAAUUAUUUCUAUUUCUGUGAACAACACAGUUCUGCUGCUGUUGUGUUUCUCCUUUCAUUCCUGUUCCUUUCCAAAAUGUUUCUGCAUGUGCAUGUGUGCAUGAUUUUGUCCAUUGCUGGUCAAUGACAUUUUUUGCUCCCUGUUUUUUCAGUAGAUUUUAUGUUUUAGAUGAUACUUAUCCUUUUUGUCACAUAUUACUCACAUUUGCUGUAUGCACUUUCUUUCUUAGAGAGAAGGGCAGAUGCUUUUCAGUUAUCUGAAUGGCAAUAGUUUGGAACUUAAGAUAUCCCGCGACCUGCUACAGUUAUCUUGUUACUGUUUAGAAUCUUCUUAUCCAGUGAGCACACUAAAUGGGUACUUGAAAGUUUUCCGAGUACUAUAAAUUUAUACAGGAAAGGUUGUAUCUGUCCACUACCUCAAUCUAACGGUUCCAUUUGGUGUCAGCGGAUUUGGUGCGGAUGAGGACACCACUUAAAUAUGAUCUAGGACCACAUCCUAUGCUGGCAUCCACUCCUUUAGCUAAACUGUGCUGUUCGACAAUUGGGCUACCACUUGAGAUUAGCAUCAGCAAAUGAAAAUUGAGGUAUGCACAUUGACUCGAUGCACGCUGAUUUGAAAGCAGGAACUCGCUCCAUGAUGUUUGGCUUUACUACCGCAUUCCAUCAUGUGUGGUCCUUCAAUUUUUGAUAGGGUUCUGUAUAAGAAGCAUUAUCUAGGUUUAUCGGAUAACAUUAUUUAAAAGCCUAGUCUACUGAAUAUUUUCAUCUCUCAUGUCCUUUGUGUGUAAUAUACCAUGAUCAUGCUCUUCUUUUGCAUGAAUGAUGUAUCUUUUGAGAUAUUUAUGGUGUCUCUUUCUUUUAUUUAUAACAUGAACGAUAGUUAUUCAGUUCUUAAAACUGAACAUUUCUGCCAUGGCUGUUUGUGAGAAUUCUAAAAAAACACUCGGCCGGUGGGGGAAAGACUGCCCCCACAGUAUUACAUUAAGAAUUCUACUCUAGUUGACAUCUUUUCUUGGACCAGUGGAGGAUGUGCACAUAUGACCUGUUCUUUCUUGGCGAGUAACUAACAUUUAGGCAUCAAACUGUAUUACAUGAAAGGUGAAUGGUAUACAUGUGUUAAUGCUAUCCGUGUGAAUCCUUGCUCUAUGGUUACAGAAAUAGUGUAAGUGAAAUAUCAUCAUUAGUUACUCUGAACACAGAAUGUGCACCUCAGUUUCCUCUAUUUCUCUCCAUGAUCUGAGUUAAAUAGAAAAGGAACAUCUUUUAACUUUAGCUUCCCACGUUUCAUUAAUAGUGAUUUUUCUGAAGUACACAUACGAAAUCUUGUGCAUUAUUUAGGAGUAUACUUUCCAGUAAAUUUGGGUAUGAUUAUCUUGUUUUGUGUCCUCAUCUCCUGUUCCAUCUGCAAGUAGUUGCACCUGAAAGCAAUUUCUAGCUGGGGCAAAUCAAUCAUUCUGCUGAAGUUUGAUAGUUUCCUGUUUUCUUGCAUAGCCAUUUGUAGUGGUGAAAAUAGAUAAAUUCAGGUCUUUGGUCAAACAUACACAUGCCUUGCACAAUCCUGCAUAUACACCUUGAGAAAAAAAUAAGUACAUGCCAAUAGUUUUGGGCCAAUCAGCAAGCACAAAAGCAGGAAAAGGAGGAUUAACGUAAAGCAGAAGUAAGCCUCUCUUUUGCACCAUCUUCUUUAGGCCCGGGACCAUCUCCAAGAUGGCCUAAUUCCUAUCUAUUGACCUCCAAUGUAACUUGUGGCAUAUAAUUACCCUGCCACUGCUAAGAUAUGUCCAGAUUUGAAUGAUGGAUCAUUGCAUUGACAACCUCAUUUUCUUCUGCAGAGUAUGUAGAGUGCACCCCAUAGCAUACAUAGAAGACUAUGAUCACAAGGCUCCAGAUGCCGAAUCUCUGAUAGGACCUCAUCUUGAGGGUGGUUAUCAGGAACACGUUCAGGAAGACAGAUGCAGCAGCAGGCCACGGCAUCAGAGGGACAGACCACUCUGAUGGUGGUCCAGCAACGUCCUGCCGUGCUGUGCAGUGGAAGAUUGUGGUGAUUGCUAUGGAGAUGGCCCCAAACAAUGUCAUCCCCCAUCUGCACCACCCAUCGAUCUUCCUCGAGAUGGAGAAGCCGAGAGAGCUCAGCGUGAGGAGCAGCAUGAAGAGUAGGACAUGAAGCGGCCGGUUCACGCCGACCUUCACAUACCGGUGGUAGAUGAGCGCGUUGGCCACCAGGUAGAAGACCAGGAGGGUCCCGAUUGAUAUCAUCUCAAACACUGUCUGCAGCUCCGUGAAGAGUGCUAAUGAUGCAGUGCAGAAGCCUGAACAACGAUAGUGCUUGAUGGUUAAUUAGAAAGUACUGCAAAAAAAGAUGCUGGCUAGCGCAUUGGAAUGUAUUUGUUAGAAAUAAUUUGCAUUAUCUUGCGAUGCAUCUAUGAGCAUGAAUUAUGCCAUUGCCGAGAUCUUACAUCCAUUAUGGCCUUGAUCUCACUAAAGUUACAUGUACUUAUCUUAAACUGCUUUACCUAUAGAAACAAUAAGUUUAUCUCAAUCAUGGGAGACACUACUUGUUAGAUGAACUUUGCCCCAGAAAUGUUGGAAGUCCAUAUCAGAGUGCAGAGUGUCAAAACGAAAGUAAGCCUAAAAGCUAGUGCAAUAGUGUUUGCUUAUUAUGGGCAUCACUCGGUCUAGACUAGGUUUGUUUUUGCAAGUCAUCUUCUUUUUUGCGCCGUAAUACCUGCCGUUUUUGUAAGUUAUCUUCUGGGGCUUGUGGUUAAAUGGUUCAUAAGCCUACGACUUUAACCAUUACUACUUGCUAGAGCAUACUUUUUGUUUGCACAUACAUAGAGUUAUCUUCACACUAACCAUCUCACUCUACUCCCCAUUGGGGACUUAAAAAAAGCAGUUCUGCUCCAAUGCUGAUAUUAGACUUGCAGGAAAGAUUUGAGACAACUAUUCAGCACACAGCAGUACUACUGCAUCUUGAUUGCAAAAGAAUCACUCACUGACCUAUGCUGCAAGAAAUGCUGUCUAAAUCGAUAUGAUGCUGUUUGAAAGAUUUAGCAGCGUGCGUUUAUUGGGUUUGGGUACCUAGAAAGAUGGUGGCGUUCAUAGGAGUGCCGGUAGAAGGGUGGACCUUGGCGAGCCACGACGGCACCAGUCGCGCCCUGGCGAUAACGCACAGGUACCUGGCCUGCCCCAGCAUCGCCACCAGCAGCGACGCCACGAUGCCGAGGCUCGCGCCGGCGCCGACCACGCUGCUCGCCCACCUCCACCCCACCUUCUCCCUGAAUGCCGACGAGAACGGCGCGGUCUCCGAUAUCUCGUUGUAGGGCAGCAUGGCGCAGAGGGUGAGGGACAUGAGGCAGUAGAGCGCGGACACGACGAGCACGGAGCCGGCGAUGCCGACGGGGAGCGCGCGGGCGGGGUCCCGGAUCUCCUCGGCCAUGGUCGACGCCGAGUCGUACCCGAUGUAGCUGAAGUAGACGAUGGCCGCGCCGUCCAGGACGCCGCGGACGCCGUAGGGGGCCAGCCCGUGCGGCCGCACCAGGUUCCCCGCGCUGCCGUUCCACAGCCCGGCCACGAUGAUGAAGGCGAAGAAGAGCAGGUGGAACACCGUGAGCACCAUGUUCAGCAUCGAGCUCUCCUUGGUGCUGCAAACAGUUGCAAAUUAAAUCAGUCUGGUCUCUCAAUGCCAAUAUAUAUUCUUCUUUUUUUUCUUUUGCAAAAUGUGUUUUGCUAAUCUCUGGCUAACCUUGUUGAAAAAAAGUUAACAGAAUGUCAUCUAUCAGAGUAUCGCACUGAUAGCAAGUCAUGCACGCACAGAACUUGUACUAGUGUGUUCAUCAUAAAAUAUAGGAACUAAGAACACAGAACCACAUGUAAACGAAGAGAAAAUUACAUAAUGUGUGAUACUAGCUAGAAAUUAAGUGGCUUAGUAACGUGCCUACAUUUACCUAUAGCACAGGCAUAUGGUUAUGAUGAGGAUGAGCGCGACGGCCGGCACGUCCAGUGCGUUGUACCCCUCGGCGAGGCCGUCGACGACGAUCCUCCAAGCGUUGGGCUCCGUGACUCCGAACGUCGAGGCCAGGUAGUCCGUGAAGCUCCUCGCCACCGCCGCGUUCGACAGCACGUACUCCAUCAGGAUGUUGGCUCCACCGAAGAACCCCACGAACUCGCCUGACAAAAUAAGGAUACAGGGGUUUAGCCGUUAAGCUUCCAUUGUCCAAUCUAUUCUCUCGUUGUCCUUUAUUGUUAGGACAUUAAUUAAUACACUUUACGGUACAUAUAAGGAUCAUUGCAUUUCCAAUUUUUAGGUAUAUGUUACAAGUACUCCUUCUGAUGACACAAAUCCAAUAUUGUCAUGAAAACUUGUCGGAAGAACAUGAACAGCAUCUAGCAGGGAACUUAUUUCUCUCAUAAUAUCUCGGUCGUGGUUUCAAAAGAAACUGUAGCGCUGAAUGUUCUUCAGUUUUUUUAACGUAACUGUAGGCAGCGAGAAACCAGUAGGGUACGUGAUGAGGAAGAGAGUUUAUGGAUUAUUACCGAACGUUACUCUGAGGUAGCUGAAGGCGCCGCCGGCGACGGGGACGCGCACGGAGAACUCGGCGUAGCAGAAGGACGACAGCAGCGCGGAGACGCCGGCGAUGACGUAGGACGCGAAGACGGCGGCGCCCGCGGUGUCUCGCGCCACCCUCCCCGUGGUGACGAAGACCCCCGCGCCGAGCAUCCCGCCGACGCCGAGCGCCACGAGGUCGUACCACUCGAGCCGCCGCUUCAUGCGCGCCCCCGACCGGUCCCGCACCUCGUUCAUCUCCUGCGCCGGCGUCCACGUCACCAGCGCCCUCCGCCGCAGCCGGUGCGGCGUCUGCGCUAUCGACAGCAGCACGUCGCGCAGCGCCAUUGGCGUAGCCGCCUCUCUCUCCUCCUCCCUUUCUUGUUCUGUGGUUUGCUGGGUGGACGUAGCCGGGACGAUCGAAUCGAUCUCGGCCACUAUUUAUACGAGAAUAGAGGAGAGCUAGCAUUCAAGUUCUUGGGCACUCGGACGGUGGGCAAUGAAGGUCUCUGCACCUGUUCAGCUUUUUGGGCGUACGGGCCCUCGCGAGCUAGCAAGCCUAGCCAAAGCCACCCGAGCCCAGUAGUGGAUGGAUGCUUGUGUCCGUCUGUAACUGGGGAAAACCCUUUGCCUACUGGCUACUUGGAGUAUCUAGCUCGCAUGGAGCAGCUUCAAAAUCAAGGACCUGUCUCUUGCUGCUGCUCGCUGUGCAGCGACCGCUUGGAUCACAGCGUGCGUGCGUUCGUCCGUGCGCGAGCCAUGUGUUCGCCUCGAAAACCACUCCACGCAGGCCACACACGCACAUGCCUGCAGCGCGAAAUGCUGUUCUUGCGCCACUGCUUCUCUGAAAGCUAUGAAAAAUCUUGGAGAGAAACGCUAGGUAACUUCGUCCGAAUGCAUUUCUUAUACCUGAAUAAAAGAUGGUUGCAGAUUCAGGCAUAUAUUCUGGACUCGCCUGCAGCAUUUACUUAAUCCUAUACACCAGCAGCUCGCUGGUACGUGUGGGCGUGCGAUUUCUGACGGCUCCUGGAUUUUCUAUGCUGCUUCGAUGAAGCUCACACAUGGCACAGGAUUCAGGCUUUCAGCGGGUAAUAGAUGUGGAUGGAUCUUGCGGCUGUUUGUAAAUAGCGAUCAAAUCAAUACUAGGAUGUAGAGCACAGAUUCCUGUACCCCUCAUGUUGACACCUGGUCUGGCAAAGCAGGGAGGUCAAAUCUACAUGAGCCCUAUCAGGAGACCAUCAGACCAUCAAUAUACUAAUGACCAUGUACGAGCCACCAGCAGGUGCAAUAGCAUGGCGACGUGUCGACUUGCAAUUGGCCCCGGGGGAGAGCAUGCCACAGGCAGCUGUCAGCUGCUGGCUGCUCCAAGAUGUUUAGGCCGUGUCCAAUAGUAAGAGACACAGCUGGUAGCUCUAAGAAGGGAGGGAGAGAGAAGGAACAGGGAGAGCAGACGUAACACAGUGAGAGAGAAAUGCGUGGGAGAACGUGCGAGACCAUCUCUUCCUCAGGCGCUAGCUCUUCACUUUUGCUACUGUUCACGAAGUAAAAACUAUAAUUUAACUGGCUUAGAGCUAGACCUUUGGAGGAGGCCUUAUCUUUUUAUCAGCCUGAAGAUGUCGUUUUGAAUUUGUUUCAUGCAAGUAGUACCAAUAUCAAUGUGUAGUUACCAACUUUCAAUUACUGCAAGACAGGCAGGAUGCCAGAGAGCUGAACUGAAAAGUGAGAAAAUGCAGAAACAAACUGUGGCAAAUAGCAAACACUAUUAUCAGUUAAAAAUCAAUUAAGUAUUGCAACAUCUGUAACCCUAUCCUAUACCUAGCAAUUAGAUAUUGUGUUAAAAGGAUUGAAAAAAAAGCGUUCAACGAUUGAGAUAUUAGGGAAAAGAAACUUCUCUGAAAGUGAGUCAAUGUAUUGUGAUCCAACCCUGACGAGCUUCUUUUCCGAAGGGAACCUUGAUGAGCUUUUCCAAGGACGUACGCGAUCUCUGUAGAAAGAUAACAUAGGAGGGUAGCACCAAUGAUCUGACGGCUUGAAAGAGAGGCCAGGCGAUGUCCAGAAUAGUCAAAGAUUCAGAGAGCAUAAAAUGAUUACUCUGAAGCUCUGAAAGUCUGAAAGAUAUAAACAGACGAACUGUUGCAUGCGCAUGAAAGCAUCAAGAUCACUACUACGAAGAACAUAUCUUCGCACAUCGUAUAAUACUUGAGAAAAGAUCGACGGCUAAAAGGUUGCAGAAACAAGUAGAGAUCAACUGAUCUGCUGGCUGCGCAAGUAGAGAUCAACUGAUCUGCUGGCUGCGCCGGCACAGGAACAAUUCGCCUUGGAUGCUCGUAUAGCAUGCAGCUGGCACUACAGGGGGUUCCCGGAGAAAGAAGAACACGCAGCCGCACACUCGCAGAGGCUGCCAAUAAUGAUGGCCUCGGGAGAAAGAUGAGGCGACUUUGCAAUUGUUAAUCCUUUGAUUUGGCACGGAUUUGGAAUCGCCUUGUUAAUCACAAAGGGGAGGCGUAGGUUAGAUGCUACAGGUGUAGGCACGCUUGAUGCUCCCCUAGCCUGCCCUUGGAAUAGAUAAAGAUGAUAUGGCGCAUAUAUAUCAUAUAUAUAUCCUAGCCAAACUGCAUUCCAUGUCCAUGUGGGUAUACCACUUUUGCUAACAUGCGUAGAUGUACUAGAGAUCAAGAUGCAUGUAGCAUAUUCGAAAAGAUUGUGAUUUGUUUAGUCUUCAAGUCAGAGACCUUAUGCAUUUUGUUUUGGACUGCAGUGCUGUGCACCUAGAUAAUUGUAUGCCUGUUAAGUAGACAUGUGAGGAGAUGUGUGAGAGGGGCAUUUGCUCCCAGUUUUUUUAGUUGGUGUUUCUUUCAGAUCACAGAAGUUUUAUAGGGAGGGGAACUGCUCAAUUAUUCCCCCCUGCAUUUGGUUAGAGAAUGUAUUUUAUCAGAUGAUUUGCUCCCCAUUUUUGCAAUGGUAUCCUGCUUAUCGUAAAGAAUGGUCUAGUACUCUAGCCUCUAGCGAAGUGAACCAACCAAUUCUGUCCGGGUUAGUUUUGUUUCAGUUUUAUAUCAUUUUGAGCUGAAAUCAGAACUUGAAGAUCAUCAGUCCAGGCCCCAUAGUCAGCCCAUACCAGUUUGUGUACGCCUUGGCCCAUUAAGACUUUGGACCAGCCAAAACAUUCCCAGCCCAAAGGCAUACCAUGGUGGCAUGGUUGGUUUGCUUCGGGGAGCCCGUUUGUUACGUGCCUUCCAGUGUUGGAGAUUCGUGCAUCAAUUACUAUCCGUUGGAUGCCUCCCAUGUUUCCUCAACCCUACUAUCCUAUAUGCUCAAGCCGUCCCCAUCUUCCGCUCGUCUGUGCUUGCUCGCCGGGCACGCCGCCGCUGCCGACCGCCAACGCUGCACGCGGGGCCGUCGCCGCCGCUCCUGCUCACUGCGCGCUGGCGUGUGCCGCUGUCGCGCCUCUCACUGCAUGCCGCUACCGCCCCAGCGCUGCGCGCAGGGCUGCCACCACUCUUGCUCGCGCGCGCCCCAGCGUGUGCUGCUGCCGCCCUGACGCUGCAUCCGCGAGCCCAGCUUUGCGCAGUGGGCCGCCGCCGCACGCCGAUCCCUGUGCCCCUCUCACCGUCUUGGGACCUGAGGUACCUCUUCUAUCCAACUCGAGCAUGAUGCCAGCCCUGCAUCAACAGCAUCUUGCUGUUCUCGAAUGUCGCAAUCUACCAGCGACACAACAUUAAUUCUACUUCCUCUCAUCUCUCAUUUGCUUGCUUUGUUAGAUCAGUAAGUAAUCUAAUCACCGCCUCCCUGUUCGUGAAAAUGCUCUGCCAAGAUGGAUGAAUACUAACCUGCCCAGCAGAUGUUCGAUAGAAUGUUCAUGAGAGAUGGGAAAUUAUUUUUCAUUAAAUAAUCUAUCCGCCACCACCUUAUUCUUUCAAGAAUUUUUAGAACCUGUAUCAUAAUUCCUUCCUGAUCAUUGAGUUUGCCUACAUGAGAAUUGAUGAUACACGUUGGCGUGGUCUUUUCAUGUGUCCUUUAGUAUUAAGUAUUUACCGAAUAUUUUCCAUUUUAAGUUCCAGUUUACAAUUCUGCAUUAGAGGGUGAUUUACUGAUUUCUAGAUUGUUCAUCUUAGCCCAGGUAGAGAGCAUUGAACUGGUAACAUCAAGUCAUUGUGUCGUGCGACUUUUCAAAGUACUGUUAAGUUAUUCUAGACUACAGUAAUGCAUAUAAAGAUGUCAUAUUCUCAUAGAUCCAUAUUUCAACAAUCCUAAGCACUAUAUUCAACAUAUUUCUAAACUUGUUUCAACAUAUGUGAAUAACAUAUUCAACAUUUUUGAAAAUGCAUUUCAAAUAACUAUUUCUACAUUUCUAUAUAUCCGGCUCAACAAUCAAGUUCAUCUUGUUUAACAUUUUCUAUGAAUUUUUCUACAUUACAAUAAAGUUAUUUCUCCAUAUUUACUGACUAUUACUUAAAUAUUUCAACUUUCCUGAUUGUCGUAUUUCAGUAAAGCUACUUCAACACUACUGAAUUACAAGUUAACUUUCCUUAUUGUUGCAUUUUAACAUUUCUGUAAAUAUACCUCAACACUACUGCAUAUCAUGUUCAACUUUCAUGAUUGUUGUAUUUCAACAUUUCUGUAAAGCUACUUUAACACUAAACACUAUUGAAUAACAAGUCUAACUUUGACGAUUGUUGUAUUUCAACAUUUCUAUAAGUCUACCUCAACACUACUGCAUAACAAGUUCAACUUUUCUGACUGCUGUAUUUCAACAUUUUUGUAAAUCUACCUCAACACUACCGAAUAACAUCCUUGUAAUAAUAAAUUAAAGCCUUCAAUCAACAUUCUAAAUUUUGAAAUUGCAAUUUCAACAAUUCCCUUCUAAUUUAUAUCUAUUUUUGUAUCCUUUCAUACUUUUGACUACAUUUUUUUAUAUUUAUACUUAACAGGUAUCGGUAAAGCUUCAUGAGAAGAUAGUCAAGUGAUGCUUUAGAUCUACUUCGAGAACUUUGUAUUCGGUUGUAAUGAACAUAUGGAUGAUACCUCUAAUGUAAUUAUUAGUAUAUGGAUAUUUUUCCUUUUACAAUUUGGUUUCUAAACUUUGUAUUACAUUUAUGAACUUCAAAUAUCAGUUUGCAAGUUCCCACCCAUUCUUAACCCCUUUCUAACCACGUGCCCCGAAAAAAAAGUCAAUGCAAGCGAAUGGAUGCUCGUUGCCUGCAGGAAAAAAAAGUCAAAGACAGCAAAUGGAUGGAUGGUUGCUGCCGACUUUUUUUUAGCCUUUUUUUAUAAGAUUCUCGCGAACAGGUCUCCGGCGGAAACAUUUCAAAAUUUGUACCCUUAGCUUGGCGCCAUCCAUGCUGAUGUUAAGCUUACACGUCUCGGCGCAAGAUGUUUUGGUGCCAAGGUCGUUGCGCCGUCGGUGACGUGAGUGCUGACAUGGCAGGGGGCUUGGCGCCAGCGUCGAUGGUGCCAAACUUGGCGCCGUAGAUCUUGGUGCCGAGCUGUUACCCCAUAGCUCUUGAUGUUUCGAUGAAACAUGUAUAAUUAUUUUCGAGGAACAUGCAACAAACCACACUACGGUUCAACUGGUUAGGAUGUGCACAUCUUAUCCCAAAGGUUUGGGUUCGAAUCCGAAUCAAUGCUACUGGGGUUCGAACGCAGACCUUUGGGAUAAGAUGCGCGUGUCCUAACCAGCUGAAAUGCAGUGUGGUUUGUUGCAUGCUCCUCGGAAUAAUUAUACUUGUUUCAUUCGAAACGCGAAGAGCUAUAGGGUAACAGCUCGGCACCAAGAUCUACGGCGCCAAGCUCGGCGUCAAGAUCUACGGCACCAAGCUUGGCGCCAUUGACGCUGGCGCCAAGCCCUUUGCCAUGUCAGCACCCAUGUUACCAACGGCGCAAUGACCUUGACGCUAAACCUUCUAGCGUCGAAACGUGUAAGCUUGGCGCCAGGCUAAGGGUCCAGAUUUUGAAAUGUUUCCGUCAGAACUCUAUUUGUGAGAAUCUUAAAAAAAAAGUUUACAAAACAAAAAAAUCGGCACUCGUGAUGGAACAAAAAUUUGUGUCCGCGAGACAUCUUAAGAUGGGCUGUUAGUGGGCUUUAUAGCUACAUGGCUUAUCCAGCUAAUGGAAGCCAUAUAGGGACUCCGGGUUUGCUCCGCCCUCCGCCCUUGACUGUCGAAGCAAGAGAACAGAAGAAAGUUGCGUGCGAUAAUUUGCUCCUCUGGAGUCCCUAGGUGAAAUUAUUGGUGGGUACCUGACAUUUGCGAAAUAUCUGGUGAUUUUGCGGCGGCCAGGUAGACACUGGCACGGUGUUGUGGGCACUUCCCUCUUUGCCCGGUGCAAAGGGUGCUCCCGUUCGAUUUGGUAGCGCGGGUAGGAAGCCUAUAUAUCAAUAUAUGUAUAUUAGGUGUAUCUUGUGGUUCCAAAUUCAGUGCUUGUGCACAAAGGGGGUGAUCAUAAAAACUAUGCAGGUUCGUGCUGCCACGCAAAGCAUGCCGAAGGGAGGAAUUGGUUUUGUGUGCUGCAUAGUGUUGUAGGUAACCAGACAAAAUACAUGGUUCACCUGUGAUUUGGUUCUUUAAAUGCCUUUGUGCAGCAAAACUAAUCCAAUCUGCAACGCCUUGCCAUUUACUAACAUGGGUUUGAUGGACUGCACCAGUUACAUGGCUUGUAUAGGAGGCUUUCUCAUAUUUCCCCCAACAGCACCGGGAUUAAUUUCACCAGGACAAGUAAUCAAAGAAAGGCACAUGGAAUUCAGGAAGCACCCAUUGCGUGCAUUUGGUGGUUCGGAGACGAGCAAGACAAUUCUUGAUGUGUCAGGUGCGUGCUUCAUUUUAUCUCCCUCUAAUCCCCACCUAACUUUCUUUUACAUAAGUCCUGUUCUCGCACUUAUAUAAGCACGUAUGUUCAAGCAUAGGAGUUUUGGAAAGGCUUCAUACAAUCAUCCAGUGACACUACCAUUAUGGCUUUUUUCAAGCCAUCUCUGGUGUUCUGUUCGGUUCUUACUUUCCUUAGCCUGAAUUGCGGUCCAUCUCAUGUAUUUGCCAAGGUUUAUAUGGUGGUGAUGGAGGAUGAUCCAGUAAUUUCUUACAAAGUGAACCGCAAGCAUGUAAUGUAUGUGUGUUCUCUGUAUAGGAAUAGGUUGGCUUAUGUUAUCUCCUUGAAAUACCACUUAAUAAGAGAAUUUUCAUUCAGGAGAGGCGAGGAAGCUCAGAAGUACAAACAAGUGGCCACAACUAAGCAUGACAGCUUCCUGGACUCAUUUCUCCCAAUGGGAUCUUACAAGAAACUGUACAGUUACACGCACCUGAUUAAUGGAUUUGCUCUCCAUGCUGAAUCUGAGAAGGUGCCUUUUCUUUAGCCCCUAAAGUGCAUGACAUUACUUUUAAUCUUUCAUCUGUUACUUCACAUUUAGUCUAGGAAAUAUGUAAAGUGCUAGACAGAAAGCUUUCAUUCCAUCACCUGACAGAACAGAAUUUCCAGUACCAGGAAUAACAUCUAAAUGCACAUAAAUCAUGAUUGGAGCUGCAGAGAUACAUCAUAACAUAUAGACAUAAUAUGAACAAUAUAUGCGAACCCAUGUAAAUUCUGUUUCUUGUUGAACAUUAUCAGGGGAAUUUUUGUAGCGAAUUCAGAAAGUCUGGGUCCAGAUUUGCUGCUGCCCUACUGUAGUUUCCCUCAAUAAAUAAAUCUGAUCCACUUUAUUUUCUGAGCAAUGAGCAAUAUAUGACUUGUACUCUGUGUACUUACAAACUAAGACCCAUGAAAGACAUGAAGAUGCCGAUCGCAGCAUCACGAAACUCAUCAAUGAUCAAAUACGAAUCCGUUUGCUCUUAUACUUUACUAUCCUUUUUGCAAGUUUUCUUAAAGAGUUGGUGAUCUUAUUAGUGAAAGAAGGUUGCUUCUUUCCAUUGAGAUUAAUAUUUGUUGCAUGUGUAACAGACGGUUAGAAUUCUUAGCCGUGCAAAAGGAGUUAGACUUAUCCAAGAAGACAUCAAAAUGGUCAAGAUGACAACGCACACUCCAAAUUACAUUGGAGCUAGUGGAGUCUGGCCACUCCUGGGUGGUGCUGAAAAUUCUGGUGAUGGUGUGGUGAUUGGCAUGAUUGAUACCGGCAUCGACCCCAAGAACCCAAGCUUUGUUAGCAGCAACUUGUCAAGCCAAGCAAAAUCACCACCAGCUAGUUUCAAAGGAACAUGUCGUGCUGGGAAUAGAUUUCCUCCAGAUUCAUGCAACGGUAAGAUAGUGGGAGCUAGGUGGUUUGCACGUGCUGCUCAAGCGACUGGAGAGUUCAAUGCUACAAUUCACUAUGCAUCUCCUUACGAUUCAGAUGGUCAUGGCAGGUGUGUGCAAUUAUCUUCUAUGCUGAUGACUAUGUUAAUUCAUUUUUAACCACAAUUGUGUCACCAGCUGAUCAUAACAAUAUCUUCGCAGCCACACUGCAUCGAUUGCAGCUGGGAAUUUCCAUACGCCAGUAAUAUCCGGAGGCUACAGCUUUGGGUAUGCAAGUGGCAUGGCCCCCGGAGCUCGGUGAGAAAGAUUGAAAGAACAAUCCUUUUUCAGCAUUUCUGAUACUGAAAGCCAAGAGGGGGAGCAGUAUAUAAAUCUUACUCUUCGUUGCCUUCUCUGAUUUCCCUUACAGACUUGCAAUCUACAAAGCUGCUUAUCCUUUUGGUGGAUAUAUGUCAGAUGUGAUAGCUGCAGUCGACCAGGUUCUUAGAUAAUAUAUUCUUUGCAGAAAGCUAUUACAUCCGAAGCUGUAUGCUGAACUGCCUGUAUUACUUGUCUGUAGGCUGUAGAGGAUGGUGUGGAUGUUAUAAGUCUUUCCAUGGCUCCUUCUGCAGUUUCAUCUGGGCCAGCAUCUUUCCUCAAUUUGCUUGAGGCACAACUGCUCCUUGCCACCAAAGCUGGAGUCUCAGUUGUUCAAGCAGUUGGCAAUGCAGGCCCAGAUGAGAACACAAUCGUCUCUUUCAGCCCAUGGAUAUUAAGUGUUGCUGCUUCGACAACAGACCGGAAGUAUAGAAAAUCAAUCAUAAUUGGCAAUGGGAAAGCCUUCUCCUGUGGCGCUCUUUCUGGUAAUUCAGUUCAACCUAUCUUAGUUGUUGAUCAAUAGUUUGUAGCUUUUUGCCAAUUCAUAAGCACAAUGCACUCACAGGUUUUCCUUAUGCUAUAUAGAAAUUGUAGCUGAUCUUGGAUAGGAUAAGCACUUUCUGUCCUAGCUUACUGCAUUACUCUUUUACAUGUCACAUUCAAGUAGAUUUAAUGAUUGACCAUAUCAUAAUGUGUCUGUGUUUCAAAUUCUUCACUCGAUGCCAGUGUUGUUUUGACUCCCUUGCCUAUUUUGCCAGCACCAACACCAGGUGAAACAAUGUACCCACUAGCAUGGGCUGAUGAUGUGAUCGUUGAGAAUUCAACUGACGAUGGGUGGUAUAACAAAUGCCGAGAUCCAAGGAUCUUCAUCAAACCUCUUGUCCAGGGAAAGUUGAUUGUUUGCAUGUUUGACUCAUCAGACUACUAUGAUGACAUCAGCCUUUCUAGCAUCAUUGAUACGAUUCAGAAAAUUGGAGCUGCUGGAGUCAUCAUCACUGAUCAUUCUUCGCACGACGUUGACAUUGAAUUUGAGCCUACAUUUCCCACAACAGUGCCUUCAGCUAUACUCCUGAAGGGUUCCGACAUGCGGGUAGGUUCCUGAACAAGCAAUUUGUCAUUGCUAGUAAAAGAGAUGUCUCUGGGUCCUGAUUCAGUCAUAGAGCUUGUGUUUUGCAUUACAGUAGUGCGUGGGUCUGUACCGAGACUGCAAUAUUCUCUUUUCGGUGAUUCGGAAUGUAUGCGUGACUGCAUUUGCCUUUUGCAACUGGGUGCAGGCUCUACUGCGGUACUAUAACAACAACACGGUUCGAGAUGAUGACGGAAACGUUGUGAGCUUCGGAGCCACUGCCCGGAUUCUGGAGGGACGGCAUGCAACCUACACGGGAGAAUCACCCGUCGUCGCCGAUUACUCGUCGAGAGGACCGGACGUGGAGAACUCACAGAUGCAGCCGGCAGAGGUGCUGAAACCGAACGUCAUGGCGCCAGGGCAUCUCAUAUGGGGAGCCUGGAGCCCGACGAGCACCGCCCUGCCAGAGAUCCACGGCGAGAGCUACGCGCUGCUGUCGGGCACGAGCAUGGCCGCGCCGCACGUCGCCGGGGUGGCUGCCCUGAUCAAGCAGAGGCACCCGGCGUGGAGCCCCGCCAUGAUCAUGUCGGCGAUCAUGACGACCGCGGACGCGACCGACCGGUCGGGGCGGCCCCUGAUGGCGAGGGGCGAGGAGGGCUCCCUGGACCCGGCGACGCCGUUCGACAUGGGGGCCGGCGCCGUGAACGCGGCGCGCGCCCUGGACCCCGGGCUGGUGUUCGACGCCGGGUACCUGGACCACCUCCAGUUCCUGUGCGCGGUGCCCGGCGUGGACGACGCCGCGGUGCUCCGCGCGGUUGGCGCGCCGUGCCCGCCGCCGCGCGCGGGCGGUGCGGCGCGGUGGUGCUCGGACCUGAACUCGCCGAGCGUGACGGUGGCGAGCCUGGUGGGGUCCCGGCGCGUGGAGCGGCGGGUGACCAGCGUGGGCGCGCAGAACGAGACGUACGCGGCGUACGUGCGCGCGCCUGAGGGCGUGGCGGUGCGCGUGUCGCCGGCGCAGUUCGCCAUCGCGCCCGGCGCGACGCGGGCGCUGCGGAUCGUGCUCAACACCACCGCGCCAGGGAACGCAUUCAGCUUCGGGGAGGUGGUGCUCAGGGGCGACAGGAAGCACCACGUCCGGAUCCCCCUCGCCGUCUACCCCGCCGGGACGCUGGGCCCGUGAACUCGGGCACGAGACCGUGUGCCACCCGUAGCUCAUAAUACGCGUGUACGCGCAAACAGAGCGUGUGUGUUCGUCCGAUGUACACGCACAUGUACGGGGCUCGUUCCCGUUCCAUAAUGUAGAGCCAUGUUGGGAACGCGGGAAGUCCUGUGGAAUUCGAAUGUUCGGAACAUGCAAACCUUGAGACAGACGAGGGGCUCUUGGCUCUUGAGAUCGUGAGGAGGCAGAACCACUUCCAUAUUUACAUUGUCUUAAAAUCCACGUGUUCGGCGUGGGAAAGAAGUGGACCUGGUUUGAGUCGAGUGCUUUUAUUAUUACCAUUUUCAAAGACAGUAGGAGUGGGCACCCACUCCCAGGCCUUGCGAGUUGUGAUGUACUGACGAGGCUAUCCGUCUAUCGAUUGACAUGAGAGUCAUCGAGAGCACGAUUGGGAUGUGGAUAUGAGCAGCAGCGGAGCGGAUGACGCCGCGCGGCGUCGGUGCGACGCGGCGAGGCGAGGCGGCCGCGCUUAUCCGUGACCGGGCUCCCAGCUUCCCACGCCUCCACCUCAGCAAGGACGCGGCGCCGGGCCGGUACGCCGCACCUCCCCCAGUUGACAUCGGGAGGCCGGAGAAGCGCGAAACUACCGGGGUUUGACCCCGUUUUUUAUCGAUCGCGAUCGCGGGCUCGCACCUCGCAGCCUGAGACGGGGACGCCACCGGAGCCCGCUUUGCGUGCACGCGUGGGCUCCCAUGCCCAAGCGCAACCGAGAAGCCAUGCAGUCCGUCCAGCGGCCGUAUGAGCGGUACGAAGAGGAGAGCGAUGUCGUGUCGGCGUCUCGCCGGAGUAUGAUCCACGUUUUGCGCAGUGCGGGUGGUGGUCCUCCCGUCCUCCGCGAUGAGAGCGCACGAGUAGUCUCUCUGCGCUGCACCGUUGAGUCGCUGAUGCAGCCGAGCCGUUCCGCCCCAACAGUGUGCAGAUUUGACAGACGGUUCAGACUUUAGUUUACCCGACUCAUCCACGUUUUGCACGAUCAACGUGUGCUUGCGACGACUUUAGUUUACCCGACUCAUCCACGAUUUGCACGAUCAGCAUGUGCUUGCAACUUUGCGAGAUUGCAUGCGAUGGGAGUAUGGGACCACCAAGGCACCAAGGCACGAACCCACCAGUGCCCACUGGCCACUGCACGGCACGGCUGCAUCCAUCCAAUCCACCGGCUACACGCCUACACUCCACCUCGAGAAAGGGGAAGGCGCCUGCCCUGCCUGGCUGCCUCCAUUUUUCCCUGGGGGAGGCGCCUCCCGGAACGGGGAAGAGGAAGAUGUGUUGCCUGCCUCAGAUGCCGCUGCCCCCUCCUCUCCGACUCGCUGAAACCGUGCGCCUACGCUGUCCUACGUGCGCCAGUACUGCGGCACGAGUAGGAGCGUACCAGAUGACAACAUACCACACGAGAGGACGACAAUUUUUUUUUUGAAAAGCUAGACGACGACAUUUCAAUGCUCGGGCCUGGAGCCCUGGACAGGCACGUUGCCAACUCAGGGUGGUGCCUUGACUGCAAGGACCUGCAGGCUGCAGAGAAUCCGUGGACGCACAGACAAAACCCUGAAAUGAAAGGAGAAAAAAAACACAAACAUGGCAGACUUUUCAGUUCCUGGCAAGAGGUGAAGCAUCGGAACAAAAAGAAGCACCGAAAAGGCCGGGCCCGGCACGCGCCACCCUUGUGGGCCCGGGGUUAAUAUCUCCACUGUCGAGCGGACCCCCACUAGUGGCCGGGAAAAGAGGGAGAGAAUCAGAUAAAGCCAGCAGCCAUGGGAGGAGGAAGAACUCCCUCGGCGGCUCGGCGCCGUGGCCUCCCCCAGAAAUUUCUUAAAGAAAACUCGAUCUCCUGUCCUUAUCCGGCAUCGUUCGCGCGCCACUAGCGAAUUCCCUUUGGCAACCAACAACCCCCUCCCGCUCGGGAACGCGUGCUGCCGGCUCCAAUCCAAAAUCGAGUUCCGGUCACGCUCCAACGUUUGCGAGCAGAGUUCCUGUCUGACUUCCGUUCCGAACUCCUCCCUCCCUCCCUCCUCUCCAAGAGUUCCAGAUCGUCAAGCCAGCCACAGCUCCGCUCAGCCCCAGCGCGUCGGUCUUAUCCGCCUUCGAGCUCCGGCUCUGCCCGCCUGGAUCCACCCUGCCUCGCUAUUAAUACCACCGCCCUGCGGUUCUUGCCUCCGAUCUCCAUACCAGGCCCUUUCUCCUCGGUUCACGGAGGAAACGCGCCGCGGCCGCCUGCUUUCUUCUUCUCUUUGCCGUUUUUAGCUCGCCUGGAUCUCGCUCGCGUCGCGUGCGCUUGCUGUUCCUGUCGGCGCUGCUGGAAAGGUGGGCCUUUUCCGCGGCCGGCCUCUCGUGAUCUUUCCUUAUCCUUUGUUCGACGCCAUGAACGCGCUCGCCGCCACCAGCCGCAACUUCCGGCGGGCCGCGAGGCUGCUUGGCCUCGACUCCAAGCUCGAGAAGAGCCUGCUCAUCCCGUUCCGCGAGAUCAAGGUGGGGGUCCGUUCGUGUUCCGUCCUUUUUUUUUUUCACGAUGAAGCUUGUUUCCGUUCGUGUUGUCGGCCGAUGACUUGUUUGCUCAUGGGUUUCGCGCUGUUCGUCAUCACAGGUGGAAUGCACCAUCCCCAUGGACGACGGCUCCUUGUCGUCCUUCGUGGGGUUCCGCGUGCAGCAUGACAACGCUCGCGGGCCGAUGAAAGGCGGCAUCCGCUACCACCCUGAGGUUAGGGAUCUCCCCUGAUGCGAUUCUUUUGUUGAUUAUGUCUACUGAUCGGUGAACAUGCUAAGAAUAGCUACUGUAGCGAUUCUGAACUAGGCAUGUUUUGGAAGGGACCGUGUCUUAGUUCAUUGCUUCUUUUUGGUCUGGUGGAUCUGCAAAACAAUACUCUUUUGUAAUUUAGUUUGGGUAUUUUUUACUGUAUUGUUUGUCAAGCAGAUGAUGCGUGAAAAUAGUGUCCUUUUUUCAUUAUGAAAUCUCUCUUUCCGUUAUACUUCUAUCUCUGUAUACUUAGGUUGAUAUCUCUAUCAGUCAAACUGAAAGAAUGACUUAAUGUUUUUUCCCUUUUUUUUUUGAACUACUCUCUAACGACCUCUUGCGGAUGUUUCAAAAGUUUUGCUUCCUUACAAGUUUCAAAAGUUUUCUGAAUUCUAUUUUGAAGUCGUUCUGAUGUUUUUUUCAGAUAGUUAGCUGAAUAAAAAGUGGCUGUUGUGUUUGGAUUGCAUAUGUAACUAAGCAACUGAUGUCAUCAGUUUCUUUUAAUAAAAAAAGGCACCAUACUUUUUUCUAAAAAAAAUAUUGCCGUUCCUUGGCGUUUGUUCUUUUAUGCUGCAUUUUUAAAUGUUAAGCAUGAAAAAAUCAACUGAAGAAUUUCUUGUUGACCAUUUAUCUUUAAUUUACUCCUAAAUUCAAUUGUUUACCUGUCAAACAAUGAUUUUCAUUGUUCUGCUUGACAGGUUGAUCCAGAUGAAGUAAACGCACUUGCUCAACUGAUGACAUGGAAGACAGCUGUUGCAGCAGUACCUUAUGGUGGAGCAAAGGGAGGGAUUGGUUGCUCUCCUGGUGAACUAAGUAGAAGUGAGUUGGAGCGGUUGACUCGUGUAUUUACACAGAAAAUCCAUGAUCUUAUCGGUACUCAUACGGAUGUCCCAGCUCCUGACAUGGGGACCAAUGCACAGGCAAGCCUUUUGUCAUUGUUUGUGAUCCACUGUCAUUUUUUGCUAUGCUCAGUUACUUACCAUAUUCUUGACACCUUUUUAUCCAAUUAUGACACAGACCAUGGCAUGGAUGUUAGAUGAGUACUCGAAGUUCCAUGGCCACUCCCCUGCAGUUGUCACAGGGAAGCCAAUAGUAAGUGAAUAAAUAUUAGUUGUUACAGCAAGUAACUUCAUGGAAAUAAAGUCUUUACACAGUACGGUAAGAAUUCACAUUUAUUAUUGUAGGAUCUUGGUGGAUCAUUGGGCAGGGAUGCAGCCACAGGGCGGGGUGUGAUGUAUGCUACUGAGGCUCUCCUGGCUGAAUAUGGAAAAUCCAUAUCUGGAUCGACUUUUGUUAUUCAGGUGAGUCAUAGUGGACUCCCAAACUACUUUUAUAAGAUGGUAAAAGGAGAAUAGCAUGUUCCAGCUUAAAGAAGAGAAUGAAUUCCUACUGUCUUCCUUAAGAGAGAGUGUUGACAGCAGCUCAACUAACAAAAUAUAUGUUCAAAUACUCUGUAUAUGCUAUUUUGCUAGCACAAUAUAUAUAGUCCUUAUAAUCUGUAAAACUUGCAGGGUUUCGGUAAUGUUGGUUCAUGGGCUGCACAACUUAUCCAUGAGAGGGGCGGUAAGAUAGUUGCCCUUGGGGAUGUGACAGGUUCAAUCAAAAACAAGGCUGGCAUAGACAUACCUGCUCUGAUGAAGCACAGGAAUGAAGGUGGUGCUUUGAAAGAUUUUCAUGGUGCCCAAGUUAUGGAUUCUACUGAGUUGCUAGUGCACGACUGUGAUGUUCUUGUCCCAUGUGCCUUAGGUGGAGUUCUUAACAAGUAAGAACUAGUGUCCUUGUCUAUUUUUACUUCCAUUACCUUUCCGUCAAUGAUUGUUGCUCAUUGGUACGGCUUUCUCAGUACCUCCUCAUGACCUGAGAAACUACACCAAUCUCGUUAUGAGUUGAAUAGCUUACUUUUGAUUCAUCUCCUAGUUAAGUAGUAUAUAAUCCAGGAUUGCUGAUCCGGCUUAAUUGAUUUUUGUGAAGGGACAAUGCGCCAGACGUGAAGGCCAAGUUUAUAAUUGAAGCUGCUAACCAUCCAACUGAUCCAGAGGCAGAUGAGGUACAAAGAAAAUUUUAGAAAAUUACCAUCUACGAGAUAACAUCAGUAACAUAAACCAAUUUGGCAACCAUGUUUUCUGAUCCUUUGAAUCUUGUAUAUGUAGAUUCUCGCCAAGAAGGGAGUAAUUGUAUUACCUGAUAUCUAUGCUAAUUCUGGUGGUGUGAUAGUUAGCUACUUUGAGUGGGUUCAGGUAAUUGCCUGUACAUACUUCGCCAUAUCAUUUGCACAUCUGCUUCCUUGUUUUAAUCUGACACCUUCCUUGCACUAUUUUGAUGGUGCAGAACAUUCAGGGUUUCAUGUGGGAUGAAGAGAAAGUGAACAAUGAACUAGAAAAGUAUAUGAGCAGUGCUUUUCAACACAUCAAGGCCAUGUGCAAGUCUUUAGAUUGCGACCUUAGGAUGGGGGCAUUCACCUUAGGAGUUAAUAGGGUUGCCCGCGCCACCCUCUUGAGAGGCUGGGAGGCUUGAGAUCAUUAAGCAUACAGAUUGAUCAGAUUUGACAUUCAAUAAUUCAUGUCCAACAAUAUUGGAUGACCAGUGUUUGAUCUGGUAAAAUUCAUCAGAAGUGGCAGGCUUGGAAGGAGUAGUUUGGGUGGGGUGUGCUUGUUCUUCCUUCUUUUUCACCAAUACACUACUGGGUUGCCAAUGGUUGCUUAUCCAGUUUUUGGUGAUGGUUAUUUAAAGCAUUUUGAUGUUUUACAAAAAAUAUUUUGGUCAACAAUGUUCCCGUUCCAUUUCAUUCUUAUUGAAAUACUGGUACGGGGUUCGAAGACCCCAGAUGUGAAUGAAUCGCAAAAAUUGCAUGAGACUCGAAUAUCCAUUCUUAUUGAAAUUCUAGUACGGGAUUUAUGACUUCAGAUGUGAAUAAAGCAUAUAACUGCUAUUAGUUCCCUAUAUCUCAGUAAGAAAACACAAAGUUAUCGUACUACGCAUUACAUUUAGCAAUUCUGAAGGUGUUCUUAGGCAUAUGAGAUGCUUCAGUGGCCCAGGUUUUGGAGCUACGCGUUUGCUGCCGCUGUCGUCAGACAAGGCAGCGCGAGCAAACAGCACGAGGGAUCAUCUGGUAUCUCGUCAGCUGUCAAUGGGUACAAUUCGCGAGCCUCGAUGCCGUCCUUCUUAGCAACUGAUGCUGGAGUAGAGCAGCCACCGGCAGUUACCCGUGCCAGCUUGGGCGAUGCCUUCUUCUUGCCUGCAACUGGUGUAAGAGCAGAGCCGUCGGGGGCCACCACCGCCGGUUUGCACUGCUGGCGACGGCCCUUGGGUGUAUCUGGCAGAGCCUUGCUGCCAGCCUUCUCUCCUGCAGUUGGGGCAGAUCCCACCUUGCGAGGCUGACGAACACGCUUGUUGGUUGGUGGAGCCUCCCCAACGCCAUCCUUCUUGUCAGCAACCAACACCGGAACAGGGCCGUCAUCAGCAACCACAAGCGCCAGCUCGCAAGCUUGGCUGCUGGACUCCGGUGCAAAGGACGUUGCGCAAAUGCUGUCAUUCUUGGCCACCAGUGCCAGGUUGAACGAUGGAGCAUCACGGCUGUCCUUGUCCAUGGCAGGUGUUGGCGCAGGCACAGGUACGUCGGUGGUGUUCACCAGGGCCAGCUCGAGAGGCUGACGACCCUCAACGGGCGUAGUUGGAGGCACCUCGGCGCUUGCCUUGUCCAUGAUCGAUGUUGUGGCUGGGCCGUCACCGACGAUCACCUGUGCAAGCUCACGCCGUGGCUCAUGCUCCUGGAUCGUAGUGUCGGGAGCCUCACAACCGCCCUUCUUGCCUUCAACCAGUGUUUUGCCAUAGCUAUCGGUGGUCGUGGUCAUCCCCAGCUUGCGAAGCCGGCCACGGCGCUUGGGCGUCGAGGACACUGCCUGGCUUCCGGUUCCGUCCUUCUUGUCAGCAACAUCAACCGGUGAUGCUGGAACAGAGUCCUCGGUAGCGGACUGUGGCGCCACGGCGCGACGCUGUCCUCGGCGCUUAGGCGUUGAGAACGCUGCCUGGCUUCCGUCCUUCUUGUCAGCAACAGCAACCAGUGAUGCUGGAACAGAGUCCUCGGUAGCGGACUGUGGCGCCACAGCGCGACGCUGUCCUCGGCGCUUAGGCGUUGAAGACGCUGCCUGGCUUCCGUCCUUGUUGGCAACAGACACUGGUGAUGUUGGAACACAUCCCUCAUCAGUGGCUAGUCCGGCAGUGGCGCGACGCCUCCCGCGGGGCUUGGGUGUCGCAGACCGAGCCCCAUCCUUCUUGCCGGCAGGCGACAUCGAAGCCGAGCCAUCUUUCCGCGGCCGGCCUCGGCCACGCUUGGCCUCCUCGGAGGAGCCCGCAGCGGCCGGCUCCACCGGGAGCUCCUCAGCCGUGUUCUCGUCGGGGCUGCGCAAGUACAGGCCCGCCGCGGUGCACAUGAAGAAGCCCUCGGCGACGUGCUUGUCGAGGUAGUGACGGAGGAGCCUGUCGUGCGCCGCGGGCACCCCGGGGUGCCUGGCGCGGAUGAAAGCCGAGAUGGAGUCCUCCUCUGAGCCACCGAGCGCGUCGAUCGCCUCGCCGAUCAUCUGCAGCCCAACGCGGUCACAAUGUCAAGCGUGGUGAAUGGCGAUAGACGUACGAGAAAUGGCUGAUACAAACUAAAUCGCAACGCCGUUUUUCUUAAACAAGAAAGAAGGGGGAACAGAAUCCUCCACUGCUGGGCGAUCAGCCAAUCAACGUUAGCAUAAUAAAAGAUUAAAAGCUGGUCGGUAAAGCGGUAGUAAUUGGUGGCUUUUCCAUUGGAGGUGCCAAUUUUGGUCGAUGGGCGCAUAUUAACAGAACAAAUUAAUCGCAGAACUAAAACUAGCCACAAUCCGUACAAAUAAAGUACCAAAUCUGCGACAUUUAUUUGAGGUAGUAUCAUCCAUGAAAUAAAAGAGGAGUACCAGAGAGACAAAUUUGGGGGUGAGUAUCCCGAUCAAAGAAUCCGCGGUGAGUAGACUAUUACCCAGCAGUAGGGUGGGUGAUCCGGCGUGGGUUGCCGCUGUUUCCGCACGGCCCCUACCGGCGGCGGCGUCUUCCCCUCCUCAUCCGUCGCCUUGCUCCGCUUCGCUGCUUGCCCCGCGUCCACCUCGACGCCGUCGACCAUUGCUGGUUAGAGGGAAGAUCGGGUCCCGCCGGCCGUCCGGGAGGGAGACGAAGGAAAGAAGAGGAGGGGUUUAACGGGGAGAGGCGAGAGACUGCGGCCGGUGGCUGUCCUUGUGGUUGGGCUGGGCUCUUCCGUCUUCCCUGCUGUUCUGCUGUGCCUGUGCUGCCUUUGAUGGGCGGUCUGGCCUGGGAAACCCAACUUUUUGUGGACCAAAUUGCCCUUGGUCAUUGUAACCUCUCCGGUUUUCCCCUCUGAUUUUUGCUGUUCACCCGGCGAUGAGUUGGUUACAAAUUUACAAUAGAGUCCCUCCAGAGGAGACUAAAAGGAUAAGUUACCCCAGUACAGAGGUGAGUCACGACCAAACAAAUCAGUCGCAGCCUCGCGACAGGCUAUCUGGGCCGAGAUACCGAUAUUCACCGGCCCAUUAGCCCAGGAGUAAUUGGGUUGCCUCUGAUUUUUCAUCCGCCAGCCCAUCCAUUACCUCAUGCUGUGAGGCCGUGUCAAAAAAAAAAAUCUAAUGCUGUGUGCUGAUUUGCUGUCGUCGUCUUUGUGGGAAAACAAGAAAAUCAACCAAGCAAAUGUAUGGCACAGAGCUAAGCAUCUCCAUGAGUGCCCAAAAAACAAAGUCCAAAAAAAAAAUCUGAUUUUAGCACCUUGCCAAAAAAUAUUGGGAGUAAAAAAGAACACCUUCUCCAACAGUCCCUAAAAAAUACUUGCCCCAAAACAUUUAAAUGGUGCCACAUCAUCUAGUGGUGGGCCCAGGCCCUGAUUUUUUCACCGGAUCUGACACCUCCUAUCAGCCAUUUUUCCUGCUCACGCAUCUUUUACUCGAUGGCCGCCUCCAUGCCUUGACAUAAUCCGCAGCGCCCUUGAUCUUGAUCUCGUAGAAGUCCUUAUAAUAGUUGUCCUGGUCAGUCUUAAAGGCAAAAGCUGUGAAACAACAGAUAGGCUCUACUCUAAUUUCAGCAUUUUCCAUAGCAAUAUUUGGACUUCAUGCAAAUCAUACUCUUUCUGAGUUGGAACUCCACUUUCAGAAAUAAACAAGGAAAAUGUAGUACUACUGCAUCACAGUUCAUUCGAUAAACUGAUUGGCACAGUUACUAGCUGCUACGAGUCUACGACAAACUAAUCAGCAUAAUCCUUUUUCACAUUGUUUGGUCAACAUUUGAGGAACUGAUUGAGAUGGAAGUAAUAAAACAACAAUCAAACAGGUACACUAUGACUGAACCUUAUAACUGAAUAUGGGAACUAUCCUCUCCUUUUUGCAGUCAGUGAGACAUCUAUUAUAGGAAAAUCAGUACAUCCAGUAGAGCAAAAUCAAAACAGCUAAUCAGUGCAAAUCCGAGAUUAACACCAACAAGAGUACUUGAUAGAGUAGUUCGGUCUGGCAAGUGAUUAAAACAAUGGAACUUCAGGAACUGGUCAUGGAGAUGUACAGGAAUCGGCUCAUUUUUACGUGAUAUAUAAUUUUUUGCCACUAUUAGAGGGGUAAGUGGGAACAGAUUUGCCACUAUGUGAGAGGAGUGAAUGUGAGAGGGGUUAAGUGAACAUCACAUGCAGUGGCAAAAAAUUAAAUAGCCCCAUUUUCACCUGGACAGGCUGUCGAGGGAGGGGAUCUCGCAACCAUCGACGGGAACAACUUCGAUUCAAAAGGACAGCGUGCGUUGGGUGGAGGGGAGGAGGGGCCGUCGAUGAAGGAGCCGCCGCUGUGGACGAAGGGGAUCCGGCGCCGGUGGACGGACGGGAGCUGCACCGUGGACGUACAGGAGCUGCGCGCGUGGAUGGAUGGAAGGCGGUGCCGGUAGCCCAGCGCGAUCUUGACGGGGGGCGCGGCAACCAGGAUGGAUUCACUACUAAAAAAAUGUCUCAUCUCUAGCGGUCACUUUUAGACUCGGUACUAAUGUUAGCAUUAGUACCGGGUCCAAGUUUGGGGUCGCCCGAAGGCCCUCUAGUACCGGGUGGUCUCUGGCACCGGAUGGAGCCCCCACCCGUUACUAGAGCCCUCCCUCCAUCCGCGCAAUUUAUUUUUCUCCUUUUUUUCCCCUCGAGGCGCGGCCCUCCAUCGCGGCCUCCUUCUCACUCCGGCGGCCCUCCUCUCUGGUCCUUAUCUUCUCCUUCUCACUCCCUCCGUCCUGGCCUGCUUCCUCUCCCAGCUCACUCUGGCGCCCUUCCUUUCUCCCUUCCUCUCUCCCUCCCUCUCUCACUUCGCCCGCCCCCUCUGCCUCCCCUCCCCUCCCCCCUCCGCUUGCCCCUCACUGACGGUGAGGAGCAGCGGCGGGGCGAGGUGAGGCGGCGGCGCAGAUAGGCAGCAGCGGCGGGAUGGCUCGAGCCCCCCCCCUCUCUGUCUCCAGGAUGCAGCGACGGGAGGGCGGGGGCGAGGGGAUGCGGCGGGCGGACGAGGAGGAGGUGAAGGGGGCCGACGGCGGGCGGCGGAGGAGGAGGAGGGGGCCGGCGGGCGGAGGAGGUGGAGGGGGCUAGCGGCGGGCGGAGGGAGGAGGAGGCGGAGGAGGGGGCCGGCGGUGCGUGGAGGAGGGGGCCGGCGGCGAGUGGAGGAGGCGGAGGGGGGCGGCGGCAGGCGGAGGGAGGCUCGGGCUGGCUGGGGGAUUUUCAUUUUUUUAAUUUUUUAACAUCCUUUAGUAAUAGUUAUUCCAACCGGUACCAGAGGACCCCCUCUAGUACCAGAUUGCACAAGCGGUUCUAGAGGGGGUUAGGAACCGGUACUGGAGUUUUUUUUUUUUUAGUGAUUGGAGGGUGCGUUCUUGUAAAAAAUAGCGCGAGGGGAAGGGAAAACGCAAGGAAGACGCGUGGGAACCGAGAAACGGCGGGCACCGGCCGCAAAAUUCGGGAUUGGGAGCGCCCAGCGCCGGCGAAAAUCUGGCUCAGAAUGGCGCUGGUUUUGGGUGCGCGUAAAAAUUGGGCAAGCAAUUGGGCUACUGUUGGAGAUCACAGUUUCGUGCCCAAAAAUAAUUAUUGGGAGUAUUUUUUGGACACUCUAUGCUCUAUGAAAACAUCGCUCGCCAUGUCGCGAGCAACAAACAAAAGCCAAGAAUUUGACCACCAGGCAGCGUCGUGGUCGGCUGGUUGCGUCGGCGUUCCAGGUCUCCACUCUCAACUGGUACCUGUAGGCUGCAGGUCUCCCUCUCCUGUCUUCCACCACCUCUUGCACAGUUUGCACUUGCUGUGAGCGGGUGCGAGACUGCGGGCGGCAUGGACGGACCGAGGGGUCCCGCGCCUGGGCGUGGGCGGACGGCGCCGCACGGAUGGGCAGGCGAUUCCGGGUCCGGGCAGGGCUCCGGCCCCGACGGCUCUUGGAGUUGCGGCUGGGGAUGGGCCUCGGGCCCCGGAGGUGGCUGGAGCUACAGCCACGGCUCCGCGCAGGGCCCCCGCGGCGCUGCAGACGGCGCCGCGUACGGGUUCGGCUACGGCGGCGGCGGUGGCGGUGGAGGAGGAAGCGGGCGUGGGGGGUUCGGGUUCAGCUUCGACGGCCCCGGCGGCGCGGGCGGCUUCAGCUGGGGUGCCGGUGGCGGGGCGUUUGGGACCGGAGGUGAUCACACGGGUCACGGCGGCUGGAGAGCGCGCGGUGGGUUCGGCGGCGGCGGGAGGCAGCUGCGACCACCGCCGCAGUGUAUUUCUUACUACUAAUAAUACGCUAGUACACCUGCAUGCAUUCCUGGCUCUAUUGCGUAGAGAUACUGGUUCCAGCAUCUCUGGUUUCAUGCUGUGUCUGUAAAGACUAACAGCAAAGCAAGAACACCUUUCCUUUAGUCUGUAUAUAUUUUGUUGGCAAUACUUGGUAUAUAUACGCAGCGAGUUACUGAAACUCUAUACAGAAGAAUCAACAUAGAACAUAUGCUUAUUCUCUUUUCCUUUUCUUUUUCCGGAGGUACAAUCAUAGCCCGGUAAAAACGGAAGAAUCAACAUAGAAAAUACGCUUAUUCUCUUUUUUUUUUCUUUUUCUGGAGGCACGUGAAUCAUAGCCCGGUAAAAACGACUGCAACUCAGGUUCCAAGCUGUUGCAGAUGCCUAGGAAAAGAAGUUCCUAGAAUAUAGAAUAACUCGUACCAUUUUGUAGAAGAUAGAGGAACCGCAACUCUACAAGGGAGAAGCUCUUGUCAUUUCAAUAACAGCGUGCGAUCAAAAUCAUCUCCGGAGCUACUCUGGUUCUCAAACACAUAACCUCAGGUGCCCAGGUCCAACAGCAUACAAAUCAUAGAGGCCUAGAGCAUUCAGGUCGCAGAGGAAAACCUGAGCCGCAGUCUUCAAUGGAAAGGGGAUGGUUCAGAGAAACACACCCUCUGAAGUAAAAAACUUUAACAUUCAGAAGUACUCAUUGUAAAGCGCGAGGACCAUGCCGUCCACCCCCCGCUCCCACCGCCACCGCCGCCGCCGCCCCGCCCCCAGUCGGCGAGAGCAGCACAACCCUCCUCACCGCGCAUCCUACGCCGCAGCAGCAGCCCUAGCUACCAAGCACCCCACCCGUCACGCCGCGCACCCUCUCCCCCUCGGAGAGAUUCUUCUCUGACUCCUCGCCACCACCGCCCUGGCGCGGCCGGCCGGCGACCAUUGACGACAAGUUCGUGCCGAAAACUCUAGAUCCACGGGCCACAACACCGGAUCUACAACCUGUGCUGAAGGAUCUUCCCCCUGCCAUGCCGAUUUCGCGGAUCUCAUACGCCGAAGCUGUCAGGCGGGGAGGCUUCAAUGUCCAUCCCGGCUCAGUGGCGCAGCGCCAUCAAGAAGCCAAGCGCGCCUCUGACCCCGAGAGAAGCACUCACUCCAGCGAUAGGACAAGGCCGCAGCGCAUUAACUCCGCUGCCGCGGCAAGGACGGGCCGUGCCGGGGCCCUGCGCCAAGCGCCUGCAAGCCACGCCGCUCAAGCCCUGCCUCCGCUGUCUACAGUGCGCCAAGAAUGGGUGCUAGUGACGUGCCGCAGAGCGCAUUCACAUUGAGCACCGCCCAAGCAAUUCCGACAAGACGGUGGACAUAGCGGCGGAAAUGACCAGCGCCGCAGGGAGACUUCAAGAAGGCCAACUACCAGGGCUUUGUGCGUCUUCAUCCAAGAAGACUGCCAGAUGCUGCUUCAAAUGUCUCGCCUAGACCAUUGCGCGGCCGCAUGCCAUGACCCACAGGUGUCACCACUCCGGCCACAGACAGCGCCAUUGCAAGGCUCCACGGCCCUCCGCCGCACCGCGAACCUCUGCCGCCGCCUACCACCGCCCGGCAGCAUGGAAGCGCCCACUGCCUCGUCAGUUGAACCACCAGCACCCUCCACCACCGCAUUCCCUGCCACUGCUUUCCCCACACUGCCACUGUCCAAGCCACCAACACCUCCUUAGGAAUCUUGCGCCCUCAUCCUGUAGGCGCUCCACCUGCCACCAGAUGCUGGAGCGCGGGACAUCCCUGACCUCAUCACUCGAGAGCUCCACCUGCAACCAGGGAAGGUCUCUGUCACGCUUCACCAGCCGGAGCCCUACCUGAUUCGCUUUGAGCAUGCCGCCGACGCGGCUGAGGUGCGUCGCCACGGGCGCUUCACCGGAGGAGGCAUGAACAUCUGCCUCCAUACCUAGCGCAGCCUCACGCAUGCUUUCGGCUUCCGCAUCUUCUACAAAGUGCGCCUCUGUCUCGACGGCAUCCUGUCUCAUGCCUGGACGCCGAAGAUCGUCGAGAGGGUCGUUGGCCACAAAUGUGCACUACAGUGCAUCAUCACCGACCUCAUCCAACUGGCGGACUCAAGGCACAUCGGGCUGUGGGCGUGGACGGCGGACCCGAGCGAGAUACCCAAGAAAGUGUGGCUCGCCUUCACGCACAAGCCGGCGAACAAAUCCUCGGCUUUCUUCGUGUCGGCCGAGCAAACGCCGGAGUCAUGGCAGUAGGGCGCCUGCUACGAGGUCUUUAUCCACAUGUCGCUGCUCGAGGACUACACGGCGGCCGCGCGCAACCUCCAAGAGGUGGUCGAUAACCCAGCGAGUAUCACUCCGAUAUGCUGGAGAUACGAGUGGCGCUACGACCUUGUGGACGGCGCGCUGCCGGAUGCCCGUUCGUGCCUCCCAACCCACCUGCCUCAGCCGCCACGGGAGCCAGAGGGGCGGGAUGACGGUGAUGGCCGCUGGGAGAACGGCGGUCAUGGGUGUGAACGGCGCACCAACGACAACCACGGCGCCAGGUGUGACGCUCGUGGUCCUGACGAUGCGGGGGACGGGGAGCGCAAUCGUGGACUACACGUGCGUCGUGGCCCAAAGGACGACCGCAAGCAACGAGCGACCCGGAGCAAUUGCAAUGAUUAAGGCUUCCUCUUGCCGCCACGUCGGGGAGACGACGACGACGGCCACGACUACGAGCACCCGGGACACGGGCGCAAGUAUGGUGACACGUACUGGGGCAGCUCGGAGCUAGUUCGCUGGGACCACACCAGGUCCCCCCCUCCGCACCGCGGCACGGGAGACGUCACGACAUGAGCGAAGAGGGGCUGAGCAACAUGCCUCUUGCUCAGCUGCAAGCCCUCUUCGUGGCCUAGGCAAACGCCUUGAAGACCUACAUGCAAGGAUAGGUAUUCACCAUGCCUCUGGCUACAUCUAACAUCGUGGAUUUGGAUGCCAGGAAGAACAGUUGCCUCAUCACUACCUAUGACUAAUCCGCAAGGCCUCCUGGCUUGCUGACCGCCUGGGCAUUGCAGACGCCAACGGGGGGAACCAAGCCUGAUCCGAACCAGUCCCGGUGUUGCAUGCCUUCAACACGCUACGAGCGGCGCUACUCUCGGCACCUCCGCCUUCGACGGUCGCUGACGUCGACCAGGCACUGGACAUGCUGUUUCUGGGCACCAACCGAGUCUCACCAACAGGCUCGGCGGCGACCCGCUACAACCAGGCAGGCCAGGGAGGGUGCUGCAUUGAUUCAGGGGCCACCUGUCCAUAGCGGCGGCCUGCACCGAAGCAAGUGAAGAAGCACACGUACAAGGCAGCGUGACCGGUGUGCUGGGAGAGGCAGCCCAUGCAGCUGGCGACCUUAGCUGCAUGGCCAACGAUGGCACCAAGAUGGGCCACAUGGACGUGCCUAGCCUGGCCGUGAAUGGGGAAGCCAGUGAGGCAGCCCAGGUUGUGCUAAUGGUCCAACAAGCGCUGGCAGCCCAGCAUGACGACGGGGAGCAACUCGUGGGCCAAAACGCACCCACGGGCCAGCUGGCUGGUGUGGCCUGCGAUGGGGGCGCGCACACGGGCUAGUUGCCGGGUGCGGCCCUCGACGGGGGCGCGCCCACGGGCUAGCUGCUGGGUGUGGCCCACUAUGGGCCACAAGCCAUGCAGGUUGCUGCCUCAGAAGUGCAUGUCCCAGACACCGGCCCAGGUGGAUCGCUGCACACGCCCAGCGUUGACGACCUGUUCCUGACUCCUGCACUGCCAGUUGUACAGCAGCAACCGGCACGACGCACGCGCCAACGCCACACCUUCGACAUGAAUGAGGUGCGGCGGAGUGCGCGACUGGGCAAGAAACCGGCUAUGCUGGCCAUAAAACGAGCCCAGCAGAACCUUUGGAGGAAGCUUGGCGUCGGCGAUGACAAAAUGGCGCCAAUUAAGCAAGUUCUGCAAUACUUCAUCAGCAUGUUCCAGGAGGCCCUACCAGAGUUCGUCAUAGCGGCCAUGACCGCCCUCUUCGAUCUCGACGAUGAUGCAACAGAAUAAAUGAAUGAUGCACUUCUAUAGAUGGUGGGCGUCGUUGUAGAAGAACUUUAUCAGGAGCGGCACAUGGCACCAUGAUGACCCAGACGAAGCACACUUCCUAUGCAUUUUACCCCCGCAUUAUGUACCGCUACUUUUAUGUAUCAUCAGUACCUCACCCUACUGGCUGCGACCUUCGGUCCAAACUCGUGAACUAUAAACUUUGCCGUGCUAGCCAUGACCUUCAGGCACUGCACUUGACGAUCCCCGAGACAAACAGCGUCAACACGCGCCACUCGACGACCUCCAUGAUCUACAUGAUAGACAGCGUCACAACGCGCUACUUCACCCCACGAUUCGUGACACCUGAGCAAGCGCAUGAAACUACACCCAGAUGAUCGGCAACUUUGAAAUAAUGUGCUGGAAUGUGAGAGGUCUCAAUGCUCCGGCUAGAUGUCUAAUGGUCCGCGAAACUAUUGCAACGACAACAUGUCACAUAGCAUGCCUACAGGAAAUGAAACUACAAAACAUCGAUGCAACUCUAGCUAACUUCUUGGGAGGACACCGCCUGAACCAAUUCACAUAAAAACCGGCUCUAGGCACAAAGGGAGGAAUCCUCAUCCUCUGGGAUGACAAGGUAAUUGACAUGCAAGACGUCCAAAUUGGACGUUUCACCAUUUUGGCAACAACGGUAGUAAAAUACAGCAACACACCCUUUCGACUCACGACAGUGUACGUCCCGUCAUGACAUGCUCCAAAACCUGCUUUCCUGCGACACCUACGAGCUAUGAAACCGGACGACGACACCAGAUGGCUUGUCCUGGGGGAUUUCAACCUAAUCUACAGCGCGAGAGAUAAAAAUAAUAGAAAUCUAAAUCGGCGAUUGAUGGGGAGUUUCAGAAAUGCACUCAAUUACUGUGGCCUAAAAGAGAUACAUUUUUAGAUGAGGAGGUUCACCUGGAGUAACGCCAGGCAUCGACCAAACAUUGACACGGCUCGACCGAGUUUUCUGCAAUGAGAGCUGGGAUCUAUACUUCGAUGAUCAUGUCCUACACGCGCUCUCCUCCUCACACUUAGACCACUGCCCCCUGCUAUUAGCACAACAAUAUGGGCCUAGAAGGCCAAUGCCCUUCAAAUUUGAAAAUUUCUGUACACGCCUCCCGGGCUUCUACGUAGUGGUCACCCGGGAAUGGUCCAAGCCGACGAACCACACUGAGCCUUUCCACAGAUUGGGGUACAAACUGUACACCACGGCCCGUGCGCCACGAUCCUGGAGCAUAUCAUUCAUCUCGGAUGCCAAACUGAACCUACACAUGGCCCAAGAGGUCAUCCUGCGCCUCGAUACGGUUGAGGAGACAAGAGCGUUAACAGAUGCAGAACACUCCUUGCGUCACAAGCUUAAAAGAAGGCUUUUGGGAUGGGCAGCUAUUGAAAAAGGAAGGAAAAAACAAUGUUCCAGAAUAAACUACCUACGCGAGGGUGACGCAAUACAAAGUUCUUUCACCUAAAGGUGAACGCCAGGAGAAGGAAAAACUUCAUCCAGAGGGUUAAAGAAAGAAAGUGUAUGGGGAAUAACCCACGAGGACAAGUAGAGGGUAAUUCAAGAUCACUUCGACAACAUGAUGUGCGCACCGCAGAAUCAAAACAAAGACCUAAACUGGGAGGUAAUAGAAUUUCCAGAGGUGGACUUAGGCGACAUUGACAGCCCCUUCUCAGAGGAAGAAAUACUACAAGCAAUUGCAGACCUGCCAAAGAACAAGGCGCUAGGACCGGACGGCUUCACUGGUCUAUUCUUCAAAUCAUGCUGGCACAUAAUCAAAGGCGAUGUCAAAGCGGCCAUUAACGCCUUCCACAACAUCCAUUGCAAAGACCUCAAUCUUGUCAACACAGCUAACGUAGUACUAAUCCCCCAAAAGGAAGGUGCCGAAAGCAUCCAAGACUUUAGACCAAUAAGCCUCAUACACGCGAUCGCCAAGAUCAUCAACAUAAUCCUAGCGCUACGCCUAGCGCCUUUUAUGGAAGCGCUAAUAUCGCCAUGCUAGAGUGCCUUUAUAAAAGGAAGGAGCCUCCACGACAACUUCUUGUACUGUUAAUGGCAUGUCGAUUCCACAGGAACGAAACACCUGCACUGUUAAUGAAGCUGGAUAUCUCAAAGGCCUUUGACUCGGUGCGUUGGGAUUACCUACUAUCACUGGUGCAGCGCAGAGGCUUCCCCACAAGAUGGCGGGACUGGAUUGUGACAAUGCUAGCCACAUCAACCUCAAAAAUUCUACUAAACGGCUUCCCGUCUGACCUGAUUGCGCACGGACGUGGCCUACGACAAGGAGACCCAUUGUCCCCUUUUCUCUUCAUCCUCACGAUCGACCCGCUAUACCAGCUGAUACACAAAGCAACGGACAUGGGACUACUGAGCAAGCUGGGAGUGCGAGUAGCACGCACCCAUAUCUCAAUGUACGCUGAUGACACAGUCAUCUUCAUAAAGCCAACACCUGCGGACAUCGCUAACACCGCAAAAAUGUUGCGCCUUUUCGGAGAGGCAACUGGACCAAAAACAAACCUUCAAAAGACAAUCGUGGCUCCCAUUAGCUGUGAGAGUGUUGAUAUGGAGGAAGUCCUAUCAGAACUGCUGUAACUCGAACAGUCUUCCUAAUAAGAUACCUCGGACUCCCUCUAGAGAUAAGAUGACUAAAGAAACUCGACUUUCAACCUCUGAUUGACAAAGCAACAAACAAGCUGUCAGGAUGGCACGGCCGCAAACUCAGCCAAGUAGGACGAGCUUGCCUCACCAAAGCGGUACUAACAGCACAACCGCUAUACCUACUAAGAGUAAUCAAAACGCCAAAUAAAGUACUUGAGGACCUCGACAAAAUAAGGAAAAGAUUUCUGUGGGCAGGAGACAAAGCACUCACCGGUGGGAAAUGCAAGAUAAAUUGGGUCAAGAGUUUCCUACCGAAAGUAAAUGGAGGGCUAGGUGUGCUUAAUCUUCACAAGUUCGCAAGAGCACUAAGACGAUGGCUUUGGCACGAGUGGGAGUCACCGCAAAAAACGUGGAUUGCAAUGGAGACACCAUGUGAUGACACGGAUCGCCUUUUGUUUGUGGCAUGCACAAGCAUCACAAUGGGGAACGGGCAGAAGACGAGCUUCUGGCACUCGGGCUGGGUGCAAGGCAUGAGACCAAAGGACAUUGCGCCAAACAUCUAUGGAUCUCCAAAGGGAAAAAAAGAUGUCAGGCGGAGGUCAUACAGGGGAACAAUUGGAUCAGAGACAUAAACAUACACGCCGGAGUAACAACAAUGCACCUGCAAGAAUUCACGGUGCUUUGGCGACUAACUACAGAGAUCCAACUGCAAUUGCAACAGGAGGACAUCAUUUGUUGGAAAUUUACGUCGAGUGGGAAGUACUCAGUGGCCUCGGCAUACAAAGCACAGUUCUUUGGAUCUACCAAAGCACCGCAUAACAAAACACUUUGGCGCUGCUGGAUGCCGCCGAAGUGCAAAUUCUUUGCGUGGCUGAUAUUACAAAACCGAGUGUGGUCAGCUGAUCGGCUCGCAUGUAGGGGAUGGCCACACUCCCCUACAUGCCCCUUAUGCAGAUGCCAAGAAGAGGCAGCACAUCAACUACUGGUCGAAUGCAGAUUCACCAUGAGAAUUUGGAGCCUGGUGACGGAAUGGACGACACAGCCAAGCAUACGCAUCUCAGAAUGGCGACAAAGCAACUGAUGGGUGGAUAAACAUGACCACUAAAACAGAAGCCCUCAGGAAGGGAACGUGCUCCAUGGCACUGUUGAUCAUAUGGGAAAUUUGGAAGGAGCGGAAUAGGCGUGUAUUCAAUCAAGAAGAGAUGGCAGCCAUCACAUUGGUGGCAAAAAUCAAGGAAGAAGCGGGAGCGUGGAUAACAUCAGGGGCAAAGGACUUAGCGUUAUUUUUGUUUAAAGAAUAAUCGUGUAAUUACGUGUACCCUAACCGGUUAUCCGGCUGCAACUCUUUCUCUAUCAAUAAAAUAGUCACAAUCUCGUGCCCAUUUGAUCAAAGAAGUACUCAUUGUUUUCACAAGCAUUUAGCUCGGUCAAGUUAUCCAUGUUGAGUUGUUAUUUUCUUUGGCUAUUUAUUAUUCCUAAAAAUUGGUUCAGCAUUUUAUCUGUUCAAUUAUUGAGUUUGCAGUUGCAUUUGAACUUGAAAAGUGAAAACAAAGGUAACAAAUACACGUAUUCAAUCAUACCUUUGCAUUCAUGUUGUUAUCUGACAUCAUCGCACCUGCAUGUGAGCUUAUAACCGUAAAGCCCAAUGUGGCAAUGUGCAUAAGUCAUGCUUUCAGGACAAGUAAAACAUGCAAAUUCUGAACAAACUCAACAACAGUACGCCUUUUAAAACCAGUUACAGGGCAGACUCAUGUUGAGGGCAUUCUAGCCGAUCAUUGGCCAUUGAAGUGUCCAGAACUUGGCGGUUUUGGAUUUAAAAGUCAACUUGAAAUCCACUAUGAAUCUUUGCUGGUGCUUUGAAAUGAGCGAAGUUGCCAUCUUUCUAGAGUAAUAGGGUAUUAUCAUGACCUCAAAAGCCUAUUCUUGUGAUGUAGGGAUUUUCCAUGUUUAAAAAUGGUGCUCUAAGAAUUUCUAUAUACACGAAAAAUGCUCUAGGAAUAGGUAGCAUUAAUGUUUCAAAAUGCUCAAGGACCAUCCUAGUAGUUCCAAUAAAAUAUUGCAACUUGCGGAGGUCGGACAAAGUCGAGAAAAAACUGAAAUCAAAAGGGCAUAUACAAUAGUAUCGUGCUGGUGUUAUUAUUAAUCAAAAUGAAAUGUAGGGAACAGUUCAAUAGACAAUAAGUAAGGGCAAACGAAGUUAGAAUUUUCAAAUAAAAAUAGUGAAAUAUGUAACAUUUUCAUUUCAUAUUGCAAAUCAUCGUUUGACUGAGCUAUUGCAACAUUAUUGCCCAUGAUAAAAAAUUAUCGUGCCCUUGGACAACAGUCACAGCAUGACCACAGAUUAUCCUCAAAUGUAAACUGAUGGUAGUUAAGCAUAGAGCAACCGAUAAGGAAUGGAAAUUGUUGAAAAGGAAAUUCCACAUAAACUUAUUAGCAUGUAUACGUGCACAGCUGUCUUCAUAUUUAAAAGUUAGACAUACAAAAUAACAAAUAGGGUGGAAGAGAAGGAAAAACCUUACCCCAUUGGCAACCAAGCAUUGAUGUCUAUCAUACACUUGUAGCCAUAAAAUCAUCUAAAAGCAGACUCAAUGAAACAAGAUCAGCUAUGCCUAAAAAAAAGCACAUUCAAAAAUCUAAACUUAAUACAACCAGCCAUCACACUCCACUGAGCCACAAAGGCAUUUUUUCUUCUUGAUGUUACCAUUGGCAUCAUGUACCUGAUCUAUUUUAUAGUUGUAGUGGUAUGCUAGUUCUUGACGGGGUCGAAUAUCAUCGCAAGCAAAGAACAUGACAUGAGGCACACUGAUGUCUUCAUGAUCAUAGAGGACGUUUUGUGCAUAGAGGUUGGGGGUGCAACUAUGAUUGAUAAAUUUUGCGAAGUUCCCCAUCUCUGAAGCAUCAACAGCAAAUCCAGCUUCAUCAUCUUUACCCGGACCCUUCUGAAGUGAGGGUAUUGAUCUUGAUAGACCCUCCCAAAGAGAUUCGUCAUAAUAAUUGUGUCCAAUAGCAAAUAAGUACUCGUCAGUCGUCCUUUUUUGUGCCUCCUCAUCCUCCAACACUUCCCCUAUAUAUUCACAAACAAAGCUUCCAGAUGGUAUGAAGUCAAGAGUUCUCACACCCCAACCCAUUGAUUUUGUUUUGAAGACUUGCAGCCGAAACUUGAGGCCAUGUUGGCCAACUCUGUUGCGACAUGUAGGAGGGCACUUGCAAGAAGGCCCACACUCAUAAACUAGAGGUUUUGCUUCUACAAUGCGGCCUUUAUCAUUGAAAGGGAUUUCUCCACCAUUUUUCACAGCACAUGCACACUUUUUUGAGUCUGAGCAUCCGCCUACACAACCACAACCUGCUGGUGGAGUUGGCCGAUAGUUACGGGGAUAUUGAAGGCGUGAAAUGUAGCGAUAGGGCAUUGGGCACUCAUUGGAUAUUUUGUUAACAACAGAUACAGGGACCCUCUCCAAUCCUCGGGAUAGAUCUUUGAUGAUGACACUAUCAUUUGGUCCAGAUUUUCCUGAUUGCAGAAUUUCUUUGAUGUCAAUGUGUUUCUGUCCUUCAAUCCUUCUCAGUCGGAACAUAUAUACAUAACGGUCUCCAUGCUCUUUCUCCCUCCAGUACUUCUCAACAUGGUAUAAACCGCCAUAUAUAUAAGUAGGAAACUUCUUUUUUCCAUUAGCAGUGGUGAACCCAUGAAUAACACGGACUGGUGUAUUAGUGUCCAUGCUCUUUUUAAGUGCCAGGUUGGUACCCUCUAUCUUCUGAUUGACUGUAACUGCCACCGAACCAGUAUACACCAAGACAUCCAGAUUAUACUUGAUGUCAGAAGAUUGUGCAUAAGAUACAAUGCUAAUAGCGACACUGGUCCCAUCAUGUUUCUUGGUAUGAUCAAUACCUAACCGGUGUGGGCGAUGGAGACCAACAACACAAAGCUCUACCCUCAAAUGAAAGAUAUCACCAGGAUAUAUUCCAGGCACACUGCCAAUGUAUUUCUUAUCAUCACACUCUGUGGAGAACCGCUCCCUGAAAAUUCUGUAAGCCUGUAGAUCAGGUCGCACGUUAAGCACUUCUUCCCUCGAAUUGUCUUCUUCUUCAUCCAAAAGAUCCCGAUAAAUUAACCGGAAAUCCUGUAGAGACCGCAUGAUGCUUUCUCUAACGAUGACACCUCCAUUAUUUGGCAUUGCUUUAUCCUGAUCAUCAUUAUUGGUUUUCCUCUUCUUAUAUCCAGAACCAGUCUCAUUUUCACCUUUUACAGAGAAGUCACGCAUAGCUGAAACUCUAACACCAGAAUGAGCACUUGCAUAAUACCGCACACUGCUUCUAGUUGCUGGAGCGCACUGUGUUGAACUGUCAUCAAACCUGAAUACUGGAAGAUCAGGAGAUCCAUUAUCGGAGCCAAAAGCUUUGGAGAAUGAUCGCUUGUACCCAACCUGGAAUCUCCAUGGCACGACUGCCUUCCGCCCCUUGCGGCAAUAUAUUCCAUUACCAUUGUUACCAGGAGUUGCCAAACUGCAACCUUUGGCUGCUGCAUUACUCUUCUUGGCCGCCCCAUCAUCUGUACCACACUCCUUUGCAGUGUGACAAGCGGAAUCUCCCAACCCAACAUUUCUCUCUGGGUCCUCCAACCUGAGAUCUGAAGCAGAACAACCAUUGCUCUUUAGUCGAGUCUGAUCCACAAAAGACUCCUUCAAACCCUGGGAAAAGCUCUUCUCCACUCCUACAUUGCUUCCAACCUCAGGUUCACGAGCUGGUCCAUCACCGGUACCCCCUAAAUCCUGUGUGCCAGCAUCCUUCACACUACCAUCACAAUUGGAGCUCCCCAAAUUGCAGUCCUCACCAGUUUCGACACCGAUGUUAGCGCCCCUGCUAUUUUCAGCACCUUCCAAUCCGGAGCUCUUCACCCCGCCGUUGCCCAGAUUGCAAGCAUUUCCAGGUACAGGGCGACCCCCAUUAUCCACACCAGGGCUCUUCAAACUCUGACUAGGAGUGCAUCCUUCCGAUUGCUGCUCUCCUCCACCAACUCCCCCGCUCUUGCCGCCGCUCGGCGCCCCACCCGAUCCGCAAUUUUCCGCGUCCCGGACGCUGACGCUCUCACCGCCGGCGUUCGGCGCCCCACCCGAUCCGCAGUUUUCCGCAUCCGGGUCGCCGACGGUCUCCCCGCCGCCGCCUCUGGGCGCUGCGGCGGCGGCGUGCUUGAGCGGCUCCCUGACGAAGCCGCGCUGGAAGCGCCAGGGCACGAGCACCUUGUACCUCCUCGGCCCGGCCGCCCUCGGUGGCACCGCCGCCGCCCCCAUCUCCAUCCGCCGCCGCCUCUGCUCGGACUCACCCGCCGGCCCCUCCGAAAUCCUCUGCCCCCUGGACGCGGAUUGAAAAAACAGAAACAUGCGAUGCCUAAGGUCCCAGGACGAAUCGGACGGAAGGGGAAAAACCAAGCGGGCGAAGAGCCGGUAGGCCGGAGGUCUCCCCGAUACGUACCUGGAGGCGGCAACUACCCGCCGCGCGGGCGAGGCGGGGCGGGGUGGGGCGGUUCCGGGACGGGCGGGGAGUAGAGAGCGGCGGUACUGGUGGAGGAUUUCCUUCCCGUAACGGUGGAGCAGACAGCAGAGAGGGGGCUCGGCUGGGGCAGUGGGUCUUCCUCUUCCCCUCUCAAGGCCCUCAAGGCUCAAGCAGUCAAGCGAUGAUGAAAGGGUCGCGCGGCGAUGGGCUCUGCCCGAGGGGAGCCGGGCGCAGUGGUGGAGUGACUUGUUGCUGAGCGCCUGUUCUGAUCGGCUGCGGUUUUAUGGCGUUGCAUUAAAGUUACAAAAGGAUCCAAUUUUAUUUUGUGUAGUACGCGCUACGCGGUGGGUGGGUGAGUUCUCCGAUUUGGUCCUGGACUGGCUCAGGAUUGAGGAGGAUUUGGCCCUGUUCAUAGAUUUGGAAGUCGGAUCGCGUUAAACUGUGUCGUGUAGAUUGUCUUUAUAAACACAACGACCUAUUGUAGUUAGAAGGAUUUUCCUUUCCUCGCAAAAAAAAAGGAAAAAAUUCCUUGAUAUUGAAUGAAUUGGUACAUAUUUCCCAAUAAGAAGUUAUUGAUACAAAAUAUAUCUUAAGAUCGUGCCAAACAAUUUGUAUACGACAAAAAUAUUUAGUCUUUUUUGGGCAUCUGGCUUGUUAGAACCACAAUUAUUUUAGCUAUGUUUUUCCCUUCUCAAGAAAACUAGAGAAAUGAGCGAUUAGCAGGCUGACCAUCGAGGGCUUUAAUUGCACUUGCACGCUUCUCUUUCCAGUGACGGAUGUGAUAGUUCCUGGUCGAUUGAAAAAUUAGGUCAUGUUUAGUUCCCUCCAAACUCCCAAUUUUGAUACUAUGCAAAAGGAAGAUUCCCCAUCACAUCAAACUUGCUGUACAUGCAUGGAGUACUAAAUGUAAACGAAAUCAAAAACUAAUUGCACAGUUUUGUUGUACUUUGCGAGACGAAUCUUUUGAGCCUAAUUAGUCAAUAUUUGGACAAUAAUUCACAAAUACAAACGAAACGCUACAGUGUUGCUACAGUAAUUUUGGCACCCCAAAGUUGGGCAACUAAACAAGGCCUUAGUUGAGUGCCAAUGUGUUGCUAGGCUUUCAAAUAAGUAAAGGCGCGCUUUAAUUGCACGCUUCUCUUUUAAUUGACGGAUGUGCUGGUCAACCGAAAAAUAAGUGAAAACUAGUUGAGUGCCAAUACACCUACUCCCUGUCCCUUAAUAUCAGUCGUCGUGGGAAGCGUGCUGGUCAAACUUUUUAAAUUUGACUACACUUGUAGAAAAUAUUAGCAAUAUUUAUAUUUUUAAAUAAAUUUAUUAUGAAAAUAGAUUUAACAAUCUAUCUAAUGAUACUAAUUGUGUAUCAUAAAUAUUAAUAUUUUAUUAUAUAUAUUUGGUCAAAGUUGAUUACGUUUGAAUUCUCAGGAAGUGAGAACGAGAGAGAUAAUAAGGGACGGAUGGAGUACGUUGCUAGGCUUCCAAAUAAACGAAGGCGUGGGCAACCAGAGGAGCACAAGUUCCAUUGAUGAAUGAUCAUUCUUUUCGAGAAUAAUUGAUGAAUGAUCCAGGCGAUGGUUUCCUAAAAACAAAGGGAGCGUAGUAGCGUUGCCCGCCUGAGUUUUGCAAAACAUGGCGCCGGGUUAGAGGCUUAGAGCAAAGCGCUCACGCUGCUCCCGUCUUUAUACAAAUCCAGGAGCCAGUGAUAAUCUGCCUGUGGCAUCACGUUAAUUAACGAGCCGUGCUCCUCCGGUAUCAGAAAACGAGAAAAAAAGAUAGUCCUUGUAACCGAUGGAAACCGCUGCCAGUUUCCCCUGCUUCGCGGGGGCUGUAACAGAUGAUUUGUCGUGUGGUGGACGCAGAGUGCAUGCCGGACGCGUUGGCGUUGCCGACCGAGUUUUGCAGGCCGGGCAGAUAGUCUCAGUCAGUCAGCACAACGGCAUGCGCCGGGAUGUGUAACCACGCAGGUUUUGGCUUUGCUCGGCUCAGGCACUCGUCAGUCGUCACGAUCCCAACAGUAAUUUGCUGGACCCGUCAAUUCCGUUGGACGAUGCCGCCGCUUGCUCGUGCAGCCGUGCUUCGUCUCUACUCGGAUGCGAUUUUCCUUUUACUCCUGGCAGGCAUGUGCACGCACGAGGCACACGACGCACCAGGACGAGACUACCAGAGAGGAAGGUAGCUGCGUCUGCGUGCGCGAAACACCGUGGAAACGUGUGGUUGGUUGCCUGGUGAUCCUACCUACUGCCUCAACCAGAUCGAUCGGGUGAUGAGCAUACUAUACGGAGAGUGCACAUUUUAUAUCGUUCCCCUUUCGAUUCUUUCGAUCUCCAGAUGUGAACAACAACAAGAAAAGAGCAUUAUAUAUAGGGCACCUUAGCAAGCUAAAGCUAAUUAAGCACUUGUGGUCGACAGCAAACCAAUCGCACACUCCAUGCUUGCUUCCAAGCAAGCACGCCUGUACUGUACACGGGCAAGUGGACACACACGGCUGCUUGCUUGGAAGCAAUCUCUGUACCCGUCUCUACGCAGCUAGCUGCUGCUGAGAACUACCGCUGGCGCUGCUGCUGGUGGCGCCGUCGUCUUCAGACAGGCAGCAGCUGUGCAGCCUUGGGCCGGCGGCAGCAGGAGUCGUCAUCGUCGUCGUCGUCGGCGUCUUGCCCAGCUCCAGGGACAGCAUCUCGGCCUGGAGGACGGUGCAGUAGUGCCCAAACGUCUCCGGCGACACGUUGAGGUCGAACCCGACGGCGAACAGGAAGUCCACCUCCAGGUAGUUCAUCUCCGGCAGGCUGAUGCCGCCGACCCUGGCGAAGUAGGCGUUGUUGUAGCGCCUGCGAGAGGUAACGCGUAGCCGUCAGGUCGAAGCUUGUCUUCAGAAAAUUCAGAACCAGGCUUAUUAGUAGUGCCUGCCAGCAGUGGGCUACCUGACAUGCACCAAACGUCCAAACCAGAUGGGCCAAGGAUAGGCAUCACCGAACCAAUUCAUUUUAGAAUGUCAAAUGGCCAGUUGAGUAAUGGUUUGAGACUUAAGCGAAGAAAGAUGUCACUCCGAUGGACAAUUGGGUAAUUUGCUUGUGAAUGGGACAGUAGGGUUCAGUUCAGAUAUGAUGCUCUUGGCAGGAGAGAAUUGGGCCACUGAGCAUCAGCAUGGGGCAAGUUGCCAAUGUCCCAGUCUAAUUCUAUCGCACAACUUGGCCAAUGGGUUAAAUUCCAAAGCGAGGAAAGGUUGUGAGAGGGACAUGAGGGUGAGGACUGAGGAUCUUUAUCCUAUGUUUUUGGGCCCCCAGUGCAUCUGUGGCUGACUUGGCUGUAUGGAAGGAACUGGAUGAGCAUAUUUUCUUUGUUGGGCACGCAUAAUUUUCCCCAUAUAUUAUAACCUUAAAAAAGGGGCCAACUCAACCUCAACAGAGGAUAAUUAGAUAAUACUUGGUGUAGGCUUAAUACACAAAGUUGCUGCACUUUUCAAUGGUCAGUCUCUCAAAUGUAACGUGUGGUGUUGUCAUAGUUGCUGCAUUUUUCAAUUGCCAGUGCAUAGAAUGCAGGUACAGCAAGUACCAGUUAGAAUUUAGGCAGCAAGUUGUUGAGCUCUGUUCCUUGAAGAAUUUGCUCUGCUAACGCAUCCUACUUGGCUUUGGAUUUUCAGAACUGAUGGCUAUCGUAUCUCAUCAGAGAAUUCCAUAUCCAGAAGACCCAAUUCACCAAUCCUAUUUGUCAUGGCUUCAAUAGAAGCCGUCUGCAUUAUGACAUCGACACCGAUUUGAGAGUGGACAAAACUCUGUUAGUACACUAUUCCAAAGCUGGGGUUCACAACUUCACAUGAUAGUGUUAACUCUCAAAUCUCAACUAAUACCUGGACGACAGUGGUUUAUACAUACUACCUUGCAAAAGUAAGCAAGAUAGUACUGUUGUUGCGUAUGAAGACUCUGUAUUUCUUAGUAACUGUAUCCGAAUUCCUCUCGUAGCCUACCCAACUUCUGCCUCCUGAACUUCAUACAGUUCAAGGACACGGAUCCUACAUUUCUGCUUGUGGGCUGUUCCGGCUGUUUCUGUAAGGUGAGAAUUCAGGUGUGGAGCACAGACCAGAAACAAAACUGAGCAGCAGUACCGCCAGAAAUGGAAUAAUUCGAUCUUGCGCGUGAUAUGAUCGUAUUAGAAACCAAAGCUAUGAUCAGGGGAUCAGGCGUGAAGCGAGAACACUCACACGUCAUCCAUGAACUUGACGGCGGCGAGCACGGCGGUGAUGAGGAGGCGGUGGACGCUGUACGAGUCCACGGCGAGCGCGCCGCGCCCGCGCCGGCCGCGGCGCAGGAGGCGGUCGAGGUAGACGUACGCCACCACGUAGCACGCGGGGCUGCACCCGGCGAACCGCGCGAUGCGCGCCAUGUACGAGCGCACCGAGAUGUCGGGCCUCGCCGUGGCCCGGAACGCCGACGCCGGUGCCGGCGACGUCGCCGCGGACGCCGACGCGGCCCCGGCGGCGAGCUCAUCCGCCGCCGCGUCGUUGCGCUCCACGACGCGCUCCAGCAGCGCGGAGAGGACGCCCACCACCCGCGGCGCGCCCGCGAGCUCCUCCUCCUCCUCCUCGGCCAUGACGCGGUCUCUUGCCGUCGUGGCCUUCUAGACGCUGUGUGUGUGUGCAGGUUCUUGCGCUGGUGGAGAGGGGGUGGACUUGAUGCUGGGCGAGCUCAAGAGGUCCUCAUAUAAAAUGGAGGGAAGACGGUUAAAAGACUGAGCACCUAUUCAGGGUGUAGAAAAAGUUUGCAGCAAUUUUACUGGAAUUUGUACUGAACUUUUUUUAUGUUGUUGAAAGUAAGAGUCGGCAUCAAGGUUGGCGGCGGUAGAGAUUUCCAGCGUUUCGUUCCUCACUGUAUUCCGAUUUCAGUCCCUAGUUCUGAAUAGAACAGUAAAAAAAAUUGAACUGCUUGCAGGGUAAAAUGGGCAGAAAUACACAAUCCUAAGAGAAGUCCAUUAUCCAAAGAGAAGUGCCUCCAAAGACAAGUCCAUUAUCCACUUCUGUGGACCUUUCUCUUAUUUCUUUCGCUUUCAUUUUUUUAGAAUGGAAUAUUCCUUGCACGUCUUUGAUAGGCGGCUCUAAAUAUGGCUGGUUGUUGAUUUGUUUGGUAGUAGCUUGGUGAGGUAAAGAGUACCAAAAUUCUUUCUUUACCACCUGAGUUGCACGCUCGGUUGUUCUUACUUGAGAUUGGUUCAUUAGGGGUGUCACAUUCGUGUCAAAAUGGUGAGAUGUGACGCUCCAAGAUUGACAAAAUGGACAGGUACACCUGGAUCAAGAUCCGAGGUGUAAAACAAAACGCAUCUUCUACACGAUUUCAGUCAGUUAAAGUGUUUUCCCAUGCUUCUUUUAUUAAUCUUCCAUGCUUAUUUUUUUAAAAAUAUCUUUGUUUUAAAACAUAUAUACAUAAUUAAUUUGGUGGACGUGUCAAUCACAUGCCCGCGGCUCUGUUUCUCUUCACAAAAUUCUUCAGCUGGAAAUGGUGAUCACGUCCUAUGAAAGGUCAAACACUAGAACGACCAAGACCAAUAGCGUGACACCAGCGCGUAUCAGAACAUGCCUUCUACUAAAAUCCCAACGGUGCCUCGCUUUUUAGCGUGCGCCUCCAGUCACUGCAUGCAGACCGCUUUUUCUAAUGUUGCUGGAGUAUGUGAUCUGUCUCUGCCAAUUUCGAAAAAAAAAAUCAGUACCAAUAAACAGUUGUUACGUACCAAUAUCUUUUGUAUUGUUUAGGAGUUAGCCCUACAUGUUGUAUCCCUUUUAAAUGUUGGGUUCCUUGCCAACUACUUCUGGAGAUUAGAGCGAGGGUCUAGAUCAUGUCCUGGCGUCCUUGUCUGUAUUAUUGUCCAGGACAUAGACUCAAUACACUCAACCGUAUGUAAUUUGCAUCCGGAGCUGUAACUCUAUUCAGGAAAAUAUGUCGAUAAAAUAGGCACCUGACCACCUCUUUUUCGCCUUUUGUAUGGUCACUGUUUGUUCAUCACCAACCUUUGAACGAUUCUGAUCAUUACUUUAGGGCGCUGCACCUUAAUUUUAAUUUGAAUGCAGCCAGGUGACUGCAACUACCCCUGUGUAGUCUCUUAGCGAGCCCCCACAUGCUUUAGUUCACAUUGCUAUGAGCAAUCUGCUGACAAAUGAGCUGCCUUUUUGGAGGAUAGAGAUUGCUCAGCAAAGUAGCACCACCUAAUUAGAGCGAAAACCGGGUGGUCGUUUGGAGUUUUGCAACAAAUUCAGCUACCAUUAUCCGGAUAUCAACAUCUACAGAAACCUAUAUGUACCAAUCAAAAUAAACAUGCCAAUCAUACAGGAAAGUCAAGAGAUGAUACAUAAUUAUGUGCUAUAAAGUUGCAAGCCAUAGGUAAGAACGUAAAUGUAAAGCAAAGGACCAUAGUAAAACUAAGCAGUGUCAAGUCAAAGAGUGACAACGUGCGAGCAUUGAAGUACCCCUUCAAUCCCAAGAACAAAAGGUGUCCGAGAUGAGAAAAAGCUUCUAGCCAUGCAUCCUCUGAUUGACUUAACCGGUAAUCAAGCAAAGCAAUCGAAUCUAGUUUAUGUACAAAUUAAGAAACUGAACCGAUUUGUAGACAGAAAGUAAACAAACUCAACCAGUUGCGAACAAAACUAUUGCACCAAGAAAGCUUGAUUAAUCCUAAAAAAUAAGGCUUGAUUAAUCCUAAAAAAUAAUGUUCUUUUUGAAAAAGUAAAAAUAAUGUAAAUAUACAUUUCGAAAGUACAAAGAAGCCACCUAUUUGGCCCCCUGUUCGUGAUUUUAGAAUUUCUAACUGUGCCAGGGAUCAAUUUACCUUGUUGUCUGAUUUGUCUAGCGAAACAUCUGAUCAAAUGAUGUAACCCCACUGGAAUUAACAUAGCUGUACCAGUUAAGCACGCAUUUUUAGAAAACAUUUCAGGCAAGUAAUGCGAUCGUUCAAUGUGUGUACUCAUAAUAUCAUCACUCUUGCUUCCACCAUUAUGUGCCCGCAAAAGCAUAGGUGUUAAUCAGUGACUUGUAUUCUUCGUCCUCAGCACAUCCUCUACUUGUAAGUACACUCACUAACCUAUCUGCACCCUCUGUGUCAUUCUUCUCCUUGAAACUUGCUAGGAGACUCUCAACAUUAGUGGGUCUUGGUUUCCAUUUACUUGCACUUUUAACUGCCGUGGCUUUCUCCAUGCAUGACAGAGCUUCAGAUAUUUUAUUAUCCUUCAGGUAGGCUGUGGCAAGGAUUUCCCAGGUGUUUGGCUUGGGGUUUCCACCUUUUUCAACAAAUUGGUUCACAAUUUGUUCAGCCUUGGUAAUCAAACCUUCUCUAGCAUACCAUGCCAGUAAAAUGUUCAUAGUCUUAGGAUCGAAACUAGAGCUUUUGGACGCCCAUUCCUCGUAUAGAAGCUCAGCUCCCUCAAUAUCUCCUAUCCUUACAAGGGCAGAUAGUACCUCUUGGUAACCCAGGUUAUGAAUUGUAGGAAAAGUUGCCUUAUACCAGUUCCAAAUACGGUAAACUUCUUCCUUCUUGCCAAGAUGGCUAUAGAGUGUGAUGAGAUAGUGAAAACACUUUUUGUCCCGACCUGUUGUUCUCUUUUCAGCUCCUUUCAAGCAUUCUUCUGCCUUCUCAGAGUUCCCAAGCUUAAUAUACAUGCUAGCCAGUGUAGUAUAAGUAGUCCAAUUGGCAAUAACAGACUCAUCAGCAAUCAUCUGGCUAAAGACUCGCUCCAUUUCAUCAGCAUCUUGUUUAGCUGCACAGCUCUUUAUCCAAAUGUUGUAAGUGCACACAUCAAAGGAAACAUUUCUUUCCUUCAUCUCAUCAAUAAUUGCUGACACUUCAUCAGGCUCUCCAACAUCAACAUAGAAAUUCAUCAGCACAUUACAAGGUAAUGUGUCAGAUGCAAAUCCUUUUUUCCUCAUUUUCUCAAACGUGUCUUCUGUUUUAUCUUUCAUCAUAGCUUGGGCGUAAACAUUUAGAAGGGAACCAUAAGUCCGCUUGUCCUUCAGGGGAUCAGGGAGCUCUUCAAAAUAUUUCUCAGCAUGUGAAACACCACGCACUUUAGCAAUCAGAUCCAACUGGAUUGCCAUAUCACUUGAUGAGAGCGGAAAUCUAUCUCUGCGCUCUGUCAUCCAAUCGUAAACCUGUGCGUGUCAUAGAAAACAUUUGAUGAGAAUCAAUAUCAAGGCUAUCACUGUUAUGCUUGGCCAUCAGAAGGAGCAUUAGAAGAUGCAGUAAAUUCUAUGCCUAGUCAUCAAUAAGCAUUAUUGCAGGUCCACAGCAAAAAGAAUUUUUGAGAACGUGAAGGGAAUCAAGCUAUUGUUUUCGCAAAAAAAAAAAAAGGAAUUAGUGAUGCUUGAACAGUGGCUACUUUUCCAUUCGGUCCCAAAUUCAUGAACAAACAGGUGCAUUGGCUGAAAUCGAAGUGGAAUAGGUGGUCGAGGGACACCACCGGAGGCGGAUCGCAACAGCAUAUAGCUACCUGGAGCGCGAGGUUGAACCUCCUGAACUUGCGGAGCUCCUUGGCGAUGCGGCAGAGCUCCCAUUUGUCGAGGCGGCGCUCCCCCUCGUCCCACGCCCCCAGCGUGCGCCCCACCGGCCGCCCACCGUGCCCCACCGCGAUGCGACGGUACAGGGUACCCCACCGCAGAGGAGCGCGACGCUCGUAGUCCACCGUCCCGUAGCUGUGCACCUUCGCCACCUGCUGCCCAGCAGCAGCCGCCUCCGAUGCAGAAGACGACGGGGUGCUCGAGGAGGAGGCCGCGCACCUCACCGUCACCGCCACCGCCGCCGCGGAAACGCACGGACGCCUCUGCGUCGAGGGGCGUGCCGGGGUUAUGGGUGAGGAGGAGGUGACGAGGUGGAGCAGCAUGGUGAACGGCGAGGAGGAGGGCGGCUUCCGGUGCGGAUGAAGGAAGGGGAUAAGAGUGGGCGAGCCGGAGGCUGGGUUUGGGGGUUGGGCUGGCGCUUUGAGAUUCGUGCACCAGGAUCCGCACGAUCUGGGCCCACAGCUUUCAUCCUUUGCGUCUUCCCGCGCGGAUUUGUAUUGGUGGGCCGUGAUCUGUUUAUCUUUGGGCCGUGGUUCGGCCUGUAAAAUCCACAACGGCUCUUCUUCCUCAGGACUGCUGCUGAUGGCCCUCUCUAUUUGGGAAACCUGGUUAAGUCCAAAAGAAAAAAAAGUAAUAAAUAAAAUAAAGAGGCCACUUGUAUUAAUUUUUGGGUCACUAAAUUGGCAAUUAUUUGAUUCUUUUUCUCGCGCACUUGAAAAUUCUAUAACGCGUUUGCAUUAAGUAGGUACAGAUGGUCAAGGUCAGUGACAGCUCCUCUCUUUUUUUUUGAUACAUCUUUCUUUCCUCACACAUCUUUCCCUUCUCCACCCAUUGUUUCUCGACUAUGCAUACAUAACCUUCACCACUUCGUCAUAGGGUAGUGGACUAGAAGCACACUAUCUUCGCAACCCACAACACGUAGAUGCUUGUGUUUCGUGUUCUUAAGUGGAACACUACAUGUUGCAAGAGUAUGGUGGCCGCUCGAGCCGCCGCAAGAUCUCACCAUCUCUAGCCGUCGAUGCUACCUCCAUUAUCUUAGGUGAGAAGUUCUAGAAGCUGAUUGGAACCCAUAUCUUUUAAUGAAAAUUUUGAUUGGAGUUUUAGUUGCGAUGGAAUUCGACGAUUCAAGUCAAAAGUUUUAGGAGUAGAGUAGAAGGGGAAAUUUAAUUGUCAUAUACUUUGGAUCUGAGUUUUUGUGCGGACUAAAAUUCGAGCAAUUACUAAAGAAAGGUGUCUUUCUUUCUGUGCACAUCUUAUUCCCCCCUCUCCACCCUCCACUUCUCGACUACGCAUAGAGCACCAACUAAAAGCUCACUAUCUCCGUUGCGCAACAUGAAACUUGGAUCUUUAGCAAAAUUUUCGAUUUGAGUUGUAGUUAUGGAAGAAUUCAACAUUUCAGUGGUAACUAUCGCAGAUUAAUCAUUUCAAGUCGACAGUUUUCGGAUUUGAGUGGAAGGGGGGAAUUUUCUAGUCCGACGGGUUGGAUCUAAAUCGAAGGUUUUUCUUUUUGCAGGUUGAAAGUUAUGAUGCAGAGUUGAAAUUCAGGCAAUUACUAAGGAUAUUGCCUUACUCAAGCGGAAUAAUGGGAUUUUGAAUUGGAAUUUGAAGCCAGCCCUCACACAUGAAGGGAGAGGAGGUAGGUUUUCUAACUAUAGCAAAUACAAAACUUCAACAGUUUACUUAUCAAUUACAGCAACUACGUAUCAAGUAAUAGUGGGAAUGUAUUAGAAAGCCGUUGUGGUACCUUUUGCUAUAUCAGUUGAAUUGUCAAAAUGCACAACUAGAAAAAUAAAGCGUAAUGUGUUGGCACUCAUUUCAAUCAUGUAUUGACAGGCAUAAGACACCAGUUAUCCUGUCCAGAAGAUUCAACAAGUAGCACUGAUUGGAAUUGGAAUGGUUAGAAGUGAACCCAAAAUUUUGGCUAUCUGUGCUAAUACCUGGGCAAUGUAAAACUCCUGAAAAAAUAAUUGUGCCUGGCUUAUAACCAUGCCAAAGUUGCAGCAAGAUUUUUACCGCACUCAGAUUUCACUACAUUCGGCCUAGGAGUAGUCUAGGCAAUGCAAAAAAAAUAAAAAUAAAAAAAACAUAACCGAAUUCUUUAAUGGAACCAAGUGCUGAAGAAAUUGAGGUCACUAGUGCUGUUGCUAGUGACCUAAUGCCAUGUCUGGUUGCACAUAUCACCAACCAACACUAUCAUCAUCAAGCAUUGUCUUGGCUCUGAGAGUCAAGAGGCCCUGCAAUGCAGACACGCACAGCCAUGCUCAACAGGCCAAAACAGGUGAGCAAACAAACACUUCAGCACCGACUGCAAAUUGCAAUAUCACAUACAUAACUCCCUAGUAUGCUCCUUUUUUUCAUUUCCUGCAAUAAGAUGUCAUCUUUUCCAUACAGAGAACUUAUAAUCUCUCCAUGAGCCAUAUGCUACAGAAAACCAGCAGAACUCCAUCCAAAAGCAUGCUACAAAGUGCAAACGUUAGCUGAUCGGACAGUUUGCCAAGUUGGCAGACGACACAUUGUUAUCUGGGCGAUGACAGCACAUGCAAGAUCAAACUGCAAAAUGCCCAUCAGUGGUCGGUAAAUAAAGGCACCAUGAUCCAAGAACCUAAAAAAACUACCGCUAUCGCCUGUUCCUAAGUUGCUUGCUGAUGGCACCUGGGACUAUGGUUGCUUGAGACACCCCUCCCCUCCAGCAACCCCAUCCACGGAGGUGGAGCUGUGAGUUAUUGAACUCAGCUGAGAUGGCUGACAAAGAAGUUCUGCUUCCGCGUGCCGUGCAUUUAGAGGAAUGUCCAGCAGCAAGUCUUGAUCAGAGUCACCAUUGCCAUACUGUGGAGGGACCAACAAGGAUAACUUUUCUGGGGGUAGCAUAAAUAAGCUAAGUGCUCCUCCAGUGCAGGUUGAACCUUUGGUGGCAUAGCCAGAUUUUAGCAUAGAUGAGCUCUUAAAUUGAGAAGCCAAAUCCCCAGACUUUAAAACUCUUUUAGGAGUCCUCAUGGUACCCUCUAGUUCUGCAUGUUCACAAGCAAAAGCAAAUAAGAAACCUUCUUUGUCACUGACAUACAGAAAUAGUGAAAUAGGAAUAUACUCCGUGAGACAUUUUUUGAUGUCACAUCUAGAAACUUGAUGCAAGUCAGGAUCAUAGGAACUAAUAUUGCUAACCUGUUUCACUCUGAAUGUGGGUGUCACGGGAUCUUUUGAGCGGUUUCAUAGUGAACUUGGUAGAGCCUUUUGAUCCACUGAUAUUCUCCACUCCUCCAAUUGCCUUAAUCUCCUUUUCCUGAACAAAAAGAAAUAACUAAUUAGCCAUGUAAAAGCAAGCUUGGAGAUGAGAAAAGAGAUAUAAGUGAUGUAGGUAAAUGUAUUAGAAAGCCAUUGUGGUACCUUUUGCUGUUUAUAGCACUCCAGCCAUUUGCAUCUUGUUAAAUUAGUUAAGGCAAGCAUCUUCACUGUAUUCCAUCCCUCAUCACCAGAGAAAGACGGAUCAAGAAUUCCCUCUCCAAGAAGCAUUUGGUAGCUAUCUAUAGCAUCAGAAAACUGGAUAGAAUCGAACAUGCUUCUAACGCUGCUGAAAGAACAAGAUACAAAUGAGGACUUGCACAAAAUGGCAUCAACUAAUAUGAGUAAAGAUCUGGGCAAGCAUAAAGUAAACCUGUCAGGAGUUGAGGAUUCUGCAGGAGAAAGAAGUUUGAACAACUGUUGUUGGUCUUCUUUAGUUAGAUAUUUCACAAAGUUAGAGUAGUUGACAACAUCCUGUUCAAGAAUGAGAAGAUAAUAUACGGGUUUAGUUUCACUGAUUAGUCAAUAUCAUAUAUGCCAACCAUAUCCAAUGGCACUCUAUGCAAAUAACAUCUACAAAUUAUUAACCUGAACAAGAAGGGGCAUCAUAGGAUGGAUACCUCUAAAUCUACUGAAACUAAAGGUGAAUCAAUACUCUCCAGGAUAUGCUUAUUUUCAUAAGGAAGUUUAUCCCUGCAAAACAGACACAUAAAAUAAAACACUUAGAUUGAUUCUUACCAAAGUAACUUGUUUUAGCCAAUACUGAAUGAACAUACCAAUCCUCAAAUGCACACUUUUGCUAAUAAGAACAUAAAGAGUAUAAUACCUUCUAGCAUUAUCUUCAAUAUGCAGCGGUGACCUCUUUAGCCUCGCAGUUGCAGGAUUUAAGUUGAUUGCUGCCCUGUUUCCACUGUGAACAACAAAUGAGGCAGACCCAGAAUAGGAUUCGCUUGUAAUGUAUGAUUUAUUAUCUGCAGGAAUGGAGCUUGCUUCUGAUUCUUCCUCUGGUGAUUUCGAGUUCGGAUGUCUUAGAAGCACACUUCCAGAGCCUAUCUCAAAGGAGCCCACAGGAGUUUCACUAUGGUAUAGUAGGUCUUCCUCUGAGGAUCCUGAAAGGUAAUAUAGCUGCUCUUCAUGCAUGAUGGAGCUAAGAUCUUUUGCAAGCAUUUCUACAGGCGACGGCUUUGGACGAGUAACACAGCUCCUCUUUCUUGAUGGAACUAGGAACUCCCAAGCAUGUGAUUGUGCUGAACCUGAAUUGGCAAUAUAUCCGAGAGUCAGCAUUGAAAUAUGUAACAAAAAAAGGUAACUUCUAAGUAUGGCAAAUCUUGAGAAUCGAUGUUCUUUUAUUUUGUUUCACAGGGUUCAUGUGAUCAAGUAUCACUUCAGGGACAUGAUAAAGGAAGACACGUAGUCAUGUAUGAUACAUCAAGUAUUGAUAUUUAAUGAAACAUUAUUUUCGCCAGAUAUUAGGGUCCAUGCCGUCUGAACCCAAUUUGCAGAUUGCAAUCCUUCACAGUUACCUCUAUAAAAAUAGUGAGCAAUAAGUACCUGAUGGUUUAUCAAAUGACCAUAAGUUCUGAACUUCUCAUGAAGUCAUAAUUAUGGACUACAGACAGAACAGGAGUUUACAAAAAAAAAGUUGUUUGGGUGGCGUCAACGCAUUCAUGAAAAACAGAGGAAAAAUCAGAUCUGCAUUACAAUUUAGAAACCUCUUACUAAAUAUGAGCUAAAAGGGUACCGGUAGAAUAACAAUAUAAAGAUGUCUAAAGAAAAUUUUUGAGUUUUAAGCAUAACUUCGUAGACAAAGCAUCCAAGAAUGUACUUCUGACAUUUAAGUCCUAUCACUUGUCUGAAUUGAAUCUAGCCACAUGCACAGACUCACAAAGGAUGAGAGGGCACACAAAUCAUUUUAUUAAGCAACAACAAAGUAGGCAUUGAGAUCACUGACCAGUCAUUUCACUUGCAUCAGCAGCACCAUAUGGGCCGCAACUCUCAGAGUAUGACACUGCAGAUUCUGAACUAGACCGAUUGCUUGGGUCAGCAUCCCCCAUCUUUUGGAAAUUCUGACAAGAAAAUGGCCCAUUAUCCAUUAUGAUGUGAUUUGGUUUUUUCUUCUGUGACUUCGACUUUGAUGUUGGUGGCUUCAGCUUGCUAACUCUAGGUUCAUUGUCAUCAAUAUAAUCCUUGCGAUGCAUUGGAGUGUAGUUUGCCAAUGACCCCUUUGUUCUCCAUCUUGAGCCACAUGCAUUGCAGAGCACCGGCUUAUCUGGUGGCCCAUUUCGCCAAAGGGGAGUACCUGUUCAAGCAUUACCCAUGAGAAAUCCAUCAAAAUCGAUACACAAAAAUGCGAGCAGAGUACAAGUUCAGAUUUUAAUGACAGUGUCCUACUGCCCACAGGAAUUGGUAUCACAAUUUAGAUGUAUCAAGAGAUGGUGCCAUCAAGUUAGGGAACAUAGAAAACAGGUAAGAAACUAUACAUUAUCAAAGAAUGUAUCCAAAAGAUAUCAUGUAACUAACCACAUACAUUGAGAUUAGAUAUUUCAGAUAUUGUUUUCAAAGCCUCAAUGGUUAGUUCAACUGUAGAGGCAUGUAAUUCUAAUCUGCUGUUCUACACAAUGGCCAUACUGAAUGCAGAUAGCCACUUCAAAGGAGCAUUUUGCUGCAGUAAGAAGCUAAAGAAAGUUCAGGCCAUGUAAUGCUGCUAGCACAAGACGGGAUAAUAUUGUGUAAAUUAUACAGCAAACUUAAGUUUUCACUUCAAUGGCACCCUGAAACUAAGCAUUUCUGUAGAAGCAGCAGCAAGUUUACUCUAAAUAUCUGAUUGGCAGAAGCAAAUGGUUAUUUUCCUCUUGCAGAAUAGGAGUGAGAGCUGCAUCUAAACUCUCAUUAUCUCCGAAAGUCAUCUAAGAAGCGCAUAUCCACCGCAGUCAAACACGAGUCUAAAUGUGUUCCGUGGGUAUAAUCUGUUCCUCAAGUUCAGAAUUUUACAGGCAAAGGCCUCUGAAACCUCAACUAUGUGCACAGAUUUCUCUUGAACACUCAUGGCAGUUCAAUGGAUUCAGAUAUAAUAAUAACCAUCAACAAACGCACAAGCAACACGGAAAUAUGAGGAAUCCGAGUCCAUGGAGUCCAAAGAUUUCGUCUACGGCCCGGUUCCCAGAUGCAUAAUUGGGGGAAAUCGUACCCCGAAAAGUAUUACUUGCUGAGGAACAAAGGGGCAAAAGGGAGGAAAACAAGAGAAAAAAGAACAACUGGAAGAAAAAUUCUAGCUUUAUUCAAGAACAAGAGCUCACUUGUGACUCCGCAAUGACGGCAGGGUCCUUGCUUCCCCAUGAUUCCCUUUGCUCCUCACCUCCCCACAGGUGAAGAAGAACGGACCAGAGGAAAAUCCAAACAAAACAAACACGGAAAAACAAAGCAGAAACAAGCAGUUCUCCUGUACAGGUAAAUUUUUGAGCAAAAAAAGGGGGAAAAUCAAGAACUAUUUCUCUGUAUGAAUCUCGUCAAACCCAAAGGGGAUUCCUGGGGACAAUUCCACAGCCCAUGAGGUGCUCAAAAACCAAGUCUUGCUUGGUAGGUGUUCUUCUUUCUUCCUCUCCCUAUUUGUUUUCCUAUUGUUCUGUAUCCAGUCUUUUAGAGAGAGAGAGAGAGAGAGAGAGAGAGAGAGAGAGAGAGGGGAAAGGGGUGGAGAAAUAAUGGAGGAAGGAAUGCAGCACCAGCAGCCGAAGGGGAGAUUUACAAAGGCCGGGUGAAAGGCAUUUGGGGAGGAAUCCAAAAGAAUUAUAAUUUAAAAGCUGUAUGUUUUUGUUAAAAAUAGAGAGAGAAGCAAUUAGGAAUUGGGCAAAGGAGGAAAAGGAGAUGAGGUAGAGAGGGAGGGCAAAGCUUCUUUCUCUGUUGUAUCUUUCGACCUUUGGAUGGUGGGUUUGCUGUGUUUCAUUUCAUUUCAUUCAAUUUCGUGAUUAUUCAUGUGGAUGUGACUAAGUUGAAGUUAGGGAUAUUUCCUUGCACUAAUUAGUCAAUUUGCUUACCUUUAAAGCUCUCCACUCUGGGUGCCAUUAAAAGAAUCUUUUGCCUUGGGCCAUUUGCAUCUUACCCCCUUGAGAAAGAGCACAUGUUCAGUCCAACGAAGUCGUGUACCGUAGUACAACGUCUGGAUACGCCACACAAGCUGAACCCAGGAUGGAUGUUGCAUAAUGAAGUUGACAUUGAAAAGUCUCUUUUGAUAGGUUAAAAAAAUCUUAUGCAAUUUUUUUCUUGCCUAUGCACUUUAGACAUACUAUUGCAAUAAUCCAUUAGCAAACAAUGAUAACUCUAUGCUAUACGAAAAACGCGGGAAACGUCCGACUUUUGAAAACUACAUAAUCGUCGCAAUUAAUUGAUUUAUGCUCAAAGUAGUUCGAAUGUAUAUCACAGAAUAAUUUAGGCAUAUAUUCAUGAAUACGAUACUGCAAGUUUUUUCUUCUAAAAGUAAAAUAUGAUUUCUAAGAUAUGUAAGCUAUACUGGUUUAUAAACAUCUAGGUAUCAGUUUAUGUCAGUUUAUGGAUAAAAGUCCAAAAUUUUGUGCACACAUAAAGAUCAUAGGUGAAGAGAUAGGCAUAGAGGUGACACAAGAAAGGUGAAAGUUAUCCUCGAAGCAGUCCUGCCUGGUGGAUGAGCUAAAACCCAACCAAGGAAGCCUAAGGGUGUAUAGCUCAUGAUGUGUCGCUAAAGAAAAUGUACUAGACUCCAGAGACAUAGGAUCUAUACUACUCAGGUUUCGGGUACGACGGGAACUCAAGGGAGGCUUGUGUAAUUUGAUGCCCCUUUUGAAAUGGGAAAAAACUUUAUUUGCAUUUUUUUUCUUUUACAUGCAAUUCGAUUUGGCAAAAAAAAAUUCUUUAGUUAGGUGUCUUUAAUAUAGAAAUUUUCUUGGCAUAUCUGAAAGAUCAUCUCCCAACAACUUAGCGUAUAAACACAGAUUUGGUGAAGGCACCUAUAUAGAAACAGAGUGCGAAAGCACUCAAGUUCCCAGUAUGGAGGGCUGCGCAGGCCGGUCCAAAAGCUGUUUCAACGUGUUUGCCAGAAAUAAUAACUCCUCCUAGGUGAUUUCCAUAUAAUUCUGUGGGUGAUCUUGCCAGUCAACUGUUGGAUUGGCAAUGGUGCAGUGAAUAUCUUGCCAUUUUUUCCCUAACAUAUUUGGAAUUCCUGGUGCCACCCAGCAUUUUACAUCCGAGACAAGCGACUCUGCGCUGUAUCAAAUCCAACUAAUAACAACAGUCAUACAAAUUCUGAAUCUGACCACAUGAAUUGUCUCUCGUCAAACUACCUACCAUCCGUUUCAACAAGGCAUUAAAUUCCGCUGGAAUCCAGAGUUUGGAUUACACGCGAAUGUGAGUUUGGGUCACACGAGAAUUUGAGGGGGGGGGGGGGGGGGGGGGGGGGGGUUAAAAAAAGAAAGAAUACUCUCCACGUGCAUCUCUCCUUGAAACGAAAGUUGAAUGGAAAUCAAGCAGAAGUAUUAGGCCGCUAGAAAGAAUAGGAAUAGCGUUAGCAAGAGGUCUGCGAGAGAGUACUGGUGACUCCAUCAGCUGACGUAUUUUUACACCGAAACAGGCUGCCAAUAUUCAAAUCAGCGAUGACACGGUCGAGACAAACGCUGCGUCAGAAAUUAGGCGAUUUUACGUGCUAAGGAAAUUAGGCAUCGUCUAGGCAGGGUCAGUCACCUCAUGCGAGCCAUAUUUUUUUACUCCGAGCCCACCAAAAGGUCGGUCUCUUCCGGGUUAUUAACAUGGUGGCCACUCUUAGUUGGCGCAAGCCACCCGCACCGCCCAAUCUUCCUAGCUAUACCAAACAAAGGGUUAUUCCUAAACGGAAGGCACCUAAUAAUGUUAGAAAAAUGCCGGAGUAAUAAUUGUUAUAUAUUAAAUCCAAUUGAAUUUUCUCAUAACAAAGAAAUCCAAUAGGUUUUCUCUCAGAAAAAGAAAUCCUAUGAAUUCCCCUACCCCUAAAAAAACGAUAUAUUGUGGAUUUUCCUACAUUACAGAAUAUAUGAUUGUGAUUCGAGAUUUUUUUUUUUGAAUGAGUGGGCACGAGAUUGUGCAUAUUUCAUUGAUAUAAAGAAGUUUUACAGGAAGGAAUUUGGUGAAACAAAGAUAUCCCCGCUCACAUUCAGCGGUUGCCGCAUAUGUUUUUUGGGUGUGAGUUUAGGUCAAUAUAGGAGUAGAAGAAGGAGACGGUGACAGACCAUGAAAGGGCCCAAGGACGGACGAGAUAGAGAGAGAAUAUUUGGUGUACAUAUUCUUGUGUUGACCAAGCAUGGAGGCCCUGGUUCCUUUCUUUCUUUCCCCGGAGAUAGGCUUGGCUUCGAUGUGGUAGCUCUAUUUGUUUUUCUCUUUUGGAGGGGAUAAGAAACGGAGGGAGGCAUCAAAUAGGAAGCCGGCCAGAUAGUGGUGCCAACUCACCCGGUCACCCCCAUCAUCCCCUCCCCCCCCCCCCCCCCCCCCCCCCCCCAAAAAAAAAAAUGCAUGUCAAAUGCUACGGGAGGAAGCACCACCGAAUUCUGGCUUUGCUUUCCUCGCCCUGCCACAGCACUUUGUGCAAUCACCCGUUGAUUAGCCUGGCAUGAUUAAGCUCUGUCCAAAAGUAUUCAAUUUUUCAUUCCUUUUUUAUUUUGUUACUUCAUCUCGAGUUAAUUCAAGAACUACAUCAACGGUGAGCUGAUUUCGUGAGGGAGUCAAUUUGUUUUGGGUAGGAGCACGUACAUGAUGUAAUUCGUAUUUACUGUGAUGUUGAGGUGUGCGUGAAACGAGUCCGCAGGAAUGGUGGUUGUUCUUACGUGUACAGCAUUUCCGAUCAAUCAAGUGGCAGUAGUACGUGUUGUAUUUUAUUAAUUGGAGAAGCUUAAGUUCAAGUCCUCAAGAUCCAGCUGAGUUGUAAAAACUUUGUGAAGCAAUGUCGUCAUCCAAACCAAACAUUCCCAAAGACCGCAGGUUUCGGUGAGUUCUUUCCGGUCAGUUCUUCACAUCUCCUUGCGUAUAAGCAGGGGACCCCGGUUCCGCACUGAUAGGGAAAUCGCAGCGGUUUUCUUUUCUCCGUGUCUUAGACGACCCUGUCAUAUCAGGAGCUUCGUGCACACUCACUACUCCCCCCGGGAGUCACUAGCACGAGAUGCUGCUUACUGGUGCUCAGCAAAUGUGCAAUAAGGUUGAUCCUUGUUUUAACCAAAAAAUAAAAAACAUUGCAAUGACUUGCAGUGCAGAUCUGUCUGGGUUAAAGUUGUUUUUUUAUUACCUUCAGUGCAGUACCUCAGUGAAUUUUCCGGUGCUUACAUAAUGGUGAUGGAUUGAUUGUACUGGUACUCUUGUUGGGUUAUUAGGAAUGAUCUCCAGGUGAACGAUUUCCAGUUGGGAGCUAUAGCUUUUGCAGUGCUCACACUAUGACCACAUCCUGUGACUCUGCGUAGGCCAAAACCAACAGAACAUUUUGUACGUAUUUGUCAUCAAACAAAAAAAAUGAAGAUAAAAGCUGCCAUGGAUAUCUACCAGCAAUUCAGGCAUCAGCCGGAGCAGCUGGACACGCAGAUCUGCCGUGCUCCCGCGAGAGAGUUCAGGUGCUAAGCCAGGCAAGUUCUGCGCAGAUGGUGAUUAGUCACAGUCAAAGCACGGUUGCUUGACACCGAGGCAGCAGCCAGCGGCCUUGUAGUGUACGCGCUUCGGGUCAAACGGGCUGUUGGCAUCUGAAUAACCUGUUCAACCCUGCCGACUCUACUACAACUGAAUGUCUCCGACAAACUACUACUGUAGUAGACAAUCGGUAGAACCCCUGUCAACCGGAUAAUUCCAAAAAAAAAAAUGCCCCAGCAGUUCUUUUUAAUAUAAGAUCCCAGAAGGUUCAGCCAUGGGUACUGGCAGCAACAGCGAAAUAACUUUGGGAAAAAAAAAUGGAUCAAAUAGAGAAGAGGAGAAGAGUUUCUGGUCGCUGGAAGGCCUGCGGCUCAGGCGCGGGGCCCACGUCUCAUGUGGGACCCGCUGCGACAUGUUGCUGAUUAGAUGGAUAUGUAUUCCAUCCACGUGUAGUAGGAGUAUUAGAUUAGGCGUCUUGAUUUGCUUCUGAAGGGGUGCGCUUGGUUGGUCUAGGCUGCUGGCUCCUCCUGUAUGUCAGGGUGAGCAAUGAUAUAGCCAUUCAGUUUCGUUAGAUAAGAAACACUAACAUGACAAGUCUGCGAGGCUCGUAACGCUUCGCCAAUUUUAACAAGCAUCACCCAAUCUGCAUCCGACGGCCGUCAUCAAAACCGUCGAUGUUAUCUUCUUCCUUUGUAUUAUUAGAUGCUAAAUAGUAGUUUCUUUCAACUUAAACUGUGUUUACUUUAACCGACCAAGCCAUUGCUGUUUAGGCUGACCAGCGGGUCGGAAGGACAUCGAAGAACAUUUAUCUUAACCCUAGUAGUUGAUAGAGUAGUUAGUAGAACUUAGCCGUCUCCAUGGCGGUUGCUGAAUCGGAUUCCUCCUUGUUCAUCGUUGAUUCAGUAAAGUUCUUGCUACUCUGUCUAUCGAUUAGCUUCUGAGUUCUUUGUGUUUUGGUUCAGUCCUAGCUUCAUUCUUUUUCAUUUGCAAAGUUCUUGACAAACGUAUCCAGAGCCCGGCAUCCUCGGCCGGAUUCUCCAAUUCCAGAACCAAAUCUUCCGGAUUCAGACCGAUUGGAGUGGUGGAUUGGUGGUUGCGGCUCACCCGCCUAAAUUCCCACCCACCCACCCGGAUUCGUGGAGAACACCCCAAUUUUCCCUAAAUCAGCGGUAGAUUUCUUGCUAGUGAGGGUUGCAAGGCAUUGUUCUUGCAUAAAAUUCCGAAAACUGUGCUGGAAUCCAAUCCUGCAGCGGCAUUGGAGGGAGACACUCUUUAGUGAUGGUUGUAAGACAUUCUUGUGUAAAAUCCCCAAGCCAAAUCCAUGUGUCAGGCAGCGGUUGAACGUACCAUGAGACUAAUUAGGGAGGGUUUUGCCCAAACCGAUCUUGCAUAAAAGGAUGGUAAACAACAAUGAAACUGGUGAGCAGAACUUGUAUGCCAUUGCUGUGAAUGUGGAUGGACUUCGACGCACUCUUGACAAGUUCAUGAGGGAGCAGGAUGUUCAGAACAAGUUUAUUCAAGGGAGUUUGGAUUAAAUCCUGAAGCUGUUUGAUGAUGCUUGUGAGCAACAAGUUGAUCCAAAGCUGGAAGACAAAGGCUCCAAUUUAAAGGAUAAAGUUAUCUCUGAAACCUCGAAAUUCAUACAUUAUCAAAUUCCACAGCAUCAUAGAGUAGAAUUUUUAGAAAGGAUCAGGAAAACUAAAAAAAAAUCCAGCAACACCUUCAUCUAGUAUGAUAGCUCAUGGACAUGAUCUGCAUAAUGUUAUUCCACCUGGAACACAAUAUCAUGAACAUUGGUCCAUUGAAGGCAAAAUUGAAGGGAUGAAGGAGUGCUAUCAUGAAGAAGGUCAUGAUUUUGAACAAGAUUGGAUACAACAUCUAUGGAAUAUUCAUGAUUUUGAAGAACCCAUACAAUACCACCAGCACAACAGAUACAAGGUACCAUAAUAAAAUAUUGCCACUGACCAUCAGCAAAACCAGUACAAGCCACAACAAUUCCAGAGAAAAUUUGUUCAUCAGCAACAAGAAGGAAAUCAACAACCUAGGAAUUUUCAAAAGCUAGAAGCACAAUACAACCAACAAUUACAGUUCAAUCACAGAGCAGUAGCCAGAGGACCCAAAUUGAAUUUUCCUGAAUUCAAUGGUAAAGAUAUUUAGGGGUGGAUAAGAAAAGCUAAGAAAUAUUUUGAGUUGAUAGAAGUUCCUAGUGACGACAGAGUUCAAAUUGCAGUACUUUGUAAGGCUGAAUUCUGGUGGAGGGGCAUAGGCUGCAACGCAAGCACCCUAUCUUGGUAUCAAUUCUGUAGAAUGGCAACAGACAGAUUUAAUGUAAUCUCUGAAUAUGAAAUUGUUGGUCAAUUUCACAAUCUGAAGCAAGUGGGGUCUAUAGUGGACUAUGUGGAUAGGUUUGAAGAGAUGGUGAAUACGGUGAAAAGACACAAUCCAUCUUUGUCCGACAAUUACUUUCUUAGCAGUUUCAUUUCUAGUCUAAAAGAUCAAAUCCAGUAUCACCUGCAAUGUCAUAGACCAACUGCUCUAUCCCAAGCUUAUUGGUAUGCCAAGAGAUUGGAACAAGCAACUCCAAUCUUCAAAAAGUACAACAAUUAUGUACCACAACAAAAGAUGCAAAAGCCAUAGGUAAAAGACAAAGAGACUCCAAAUCCUUCGUCAGCUGAAUUGAAAGCUCCUGGCAAGUGCUUCAAAUGUAGGGAGCCUUGAGUUCCUGAUCAUGCAAAAACAUUUAAAGGCAAACAAAUCUACUCAGUUAUAUUGGUGGAAAAUGAUGAUGGGCAAGAAGAAGUAGCUAUUGUGGAAGAUGCUAAUUAGAUAGAUGAAAUGAUCUACAAGACACUAAAACAAUGGCAACUUACCAAAUUUCCAUGUAAGCAUUGACUGUAACACUUUCUAACUCAAGUACAUUCACAUUGAAGUUGCAGAUUGGCUCAACAACAACAACUAGUGGACAAUGGCAGUGAUGCUUCUUUCAUUAGCUCUAAAUUUGCUGUCAAGGCUCAAUGUGACAUUAGAGAAGUAGGAGUUAAGGUAGCUAAAGCACAUGGCAAGGAGAUGCUUAGUGCAACAGCUUGUAUAAACUGCCCAUACUUGAUCUAGGGUCAUGAGUUCAUUCAAACUUCAGAUUAUUGGAACUCAAAGGAUAUGAUAUAAUAUUAGGGGCAGACUGGAUUUAUACACACAGUACAAUUGGCUUAGACCUCAGAAGAAGAGAGUUCUCUAUACCAAAGUAUGGAAAUUCCUUAGUAACAUUUCCUGAUGAAACAUUUUAGAAUAGCAGUCAAGUAAUUAGCACAAAAAAACUCUGUCAAUUACUAAAGAAGAGAGCUAUUGGAGCAGUUAUAAUCUUGAACAAUUUUGGCAAUGAGACAACAAGUUUUCAAUCUGAUAUUCCAAUUGAAGUCUCACAACUACUAGCUGAAUAUGCUGAUGUAUUUCAAGAGCCUGAUCAACUUCCACCAUGCAGAUAUGUAGAUCAUUCUAUCCCUUUACUGCAAGAAACAAAGCCAAUCAAUCAGAGACCAUACAGAUUACCUUAUCACCAGAAAAAUGCUAUGGAAGAACUCAUCAAGCAACUCUUGCAUGCUAAUAUGAUACAACCUAGUGUAAGUCUAUAUUCAUCUCCAAUAAUUCUACUAAAGAAAAAAGAUAGUACUUGGAGGCUCCAUGUGGAUUAUACAUAAUUGAACUCCAAUACAGUGAAAAACAAGUACCCUAUCCCAAUCAUAGAAGAUCUGUUGGAUGAAUUAUUUGGUGCUAAAGUAUUCCCAAAAAUUAAUUUGAGGUUUGGCUAUCAUCAUAUUGGGAUGAAACAUGAGGAUAUUCAGAAAACAAUAUUUACAACUCACUUAGGCCAUUUUGAGUAUGUUGUGAUGCCUUUUGGUCUAACAAAUGCUCCUGCAACAUUCCAAACACUGAUGAACACAAUACUAGCUGAAUUCUUGAGAAAAUUUGCUUUGGUAUUCUUUGAUGAUAUUCUGAUCUAUAGCAUAUCUGAUUCUGAUCAUGUGAACCAUCUUAGAACAAUUCUGCAAGUUUUAAGGGAGAAUAAGCUGUAUGCAAAAAUGAGCAAAUGUUCUUUUGCACAAACUGAGAUUGAGUACUUGACGCAUGUUAUAAGUGAAAGAGGAGUUGCAACCUACCCAACUAAAAUUUCAAUCAUUCAGAACUGGUCAGCUCCAACUACUGUAACUGAAUUGAGAGCAUUUAUAGGCCUAGCUGGAUAUUAUAGGAGGUUCAUAAAGGGUUAUGGCAUAAUCUGCAUACCACUAUUCAAUGCUCUUAAAAAGGAUGCCUUUCAAUAUGGUGAACAACAAGAACAAACUUUCUCACAAAUUAAGCAGAUCAUGUCUACACCACCUGUUCUGGCUCUGCCUGAUUUUACUCAACCAUUUGUACUAGAGGCAGAUGCAAGUGGUAUUGGUACUGGUGCAGUGUUGAUGCAAAAUGGAAGACCAAUUUCAUUCUUAAGUAGAACACUUGGUACAAAAACAGCUGCUUCUUCAACUUAUGAAAAAGAAGCAAUGGCAAUUUUAGAAGCUUUGAAGAAGUGAAAAUAUUAUUGUGCCAGUACAUCUAUGGUGAUUAGAACUGAUCAGUGGAGCCUAAAGUACAUUCAAGAUCAGAGAUUGGUAGAAGAAAUUCAACACAAACUACUAGUCAAGUUGUUGGACUUUAACUACAAAGUUGAGUAAAAAAAGGCAGAGAGAAUAAAGCAACAGAUGCUCUAUCUAGAGCAACUCAUUCUCAAGAAGUUAUGGCCAUCUCAGCUAUAACUCCUACUUGGAUGGAACAAGUAAUCACAAGUUAUGAACAUAUGAACAAGACCCCAAGUGCCUAGAAUUAUUGAUCAAAUUGAGCAUUGACCCUCAAGCAGUACCAAACUAUUUAUUACAAAAUGGCAUUACAAGGUAUAAGGGCAAAUUGAUGAUAGGAGACAAUACUCAGCUCAAGUCUCAACUGCUAGAUAGUUUUCAUAAAUCUGCAUUUGGUGGACAUUCUGGUGAAAGGGCCACUCAAAAAAGAAUACAACUUAUCUUCUACUGGCUAAACAUGCAGUAGCAAAUCAAGCAAUAUGUCAAGAAUUAUCUGAUUUGCCAGAAAAACAAGGCUGAAUAUACACCAUAUCCUGGAUUGUUGGGUCCUUUACCAAUCCCCAAUUCAACCUGGACACAUGUCUCAAUGGACUUUAUUGAAGGCCUCCCUAAAUAUGAAGGGAAGGAUGUUAUCUUAGUUGUGGUGGAUAGACUAUCCAAAUAUUCACACUUCAUUGCUCUCAGCCACCCGUAUACAGCUCAAGAUGUGAUCAACCUAUACAUGGACAAUGUCUUUAAGUUGCAUGACCUCCCAAAAGUGAUAGUGACAGAUAGAGACCCAAUCUUCACAAGCUCAAUUUGGCAAGCAUUAUUCAAGAGCUUAAAAGUGGAACUUCAUCUGUCCUCUGCAUACCACCCACAAACUAAUGGUCAGACUAAAAGGGUUAAUUAGUGCCUUGAGAAUUAUCUAAGAUGCAUGUGUUUCAAUAGCCUAAGAAGAUGGUUUCAUUGGCUGUCACUUGCUGAAUGGUGGUACAACACAUCCUAUCACACUUCAUUGAAUAUGACCCCAUUUCAGGCCUUGUAUGGUUCACCACCACAGAUAGCAGAAGAUGUGAUCCCUGACUGCCCUAACAUCAGUGCUCAAGAACAGUUGAGGAAUAGACAAGUUGCCAUCCAAGUAAUCAAAGACAACUUAUCUAAAGCUCAGGCAAGAAUCAAACAUCAAGCUGAUAAACAUAGAACUGACAGAGAAUUCUCCAUUGGUGACAUGGUUUAUCUCACGAUCCAACUUUAUCGCCACACAUCUUUGAGUGCUCACAAAUGUCUGAAAUUGCAUUCUAAAUUCUAUGGUCCAUUCAGAGUACUUGCUCGAAUUGGUAAGUCAGCUUACAAACUGCUACUACCUGAGGGAUGCCAUCUACAUGACACAUUCCAUGUAUUGACUGAAACAACAUCUAGGGCCUGAAGCGGUGCCAAGCAAAGAAUUGCCACUAAUUGAUGCUAAAGGAACAAUCAAAGUUGCCCCUGCACAUAUACUUGAGAGGCGGAUGAUCCCAAGGAACAACGAGCCAGUAGUUCAGUGGCUCAUUCAUUGGGUUAAUCUAGCAGAUCUAAAGCUACUUGGGAGGAUGCCAAUUUCAUCCGCAAAGUCUUCCCUUCAUUCCAUCCUUGAGGACAAGGAUCUUAAGGAGGGGGUAUUGUCAGGGUGAGCAAUGACAUAGCCAUUCAGUUUCGUCAGGCAAGAAACAUGAUAAGUCUGCAAGGCUCGUAACGCUUCGCCAAUUUCAACAAGCAUCGCCCGAUCUGUAUCCGACGACCGCCAUCAAAACCGUCGCUAUUAUCUUCUUCCUUUGUAUUAUCAGACGCUAAAUAGUAGUUUCUUUCAACUUAAACUGUGUUUACUUUAACCGACCAAGCAUCGCCCGAUCUGUAUCCGACGACCGUCAUCAAAACCGUCGCUAUUAUCUUCUUCCUUUGUAUUAUCAGAUGCUAAAUAGUAGUUUCUUUCAAUUUAAACUGUGUUUACUUUAACCGACCAAGCCAUUGCUAUUUAGGCUGAUCAGCGGGUCUGCAAGGGCAUCAAAAAAAACUUUUAUCUGAGCCCUAGUAGUUGGUAGAGUAGUUAGUAGAACUUCACCGUCUCCCUCGCAGCUGCUGUAUUGGAUUCCUCCCUGUUCAUUGAUUCCGUAAAGUUCUUGCUACUCUAUCCGUCGAUUACCUUAUCUAAGUUCUGUGUUUUGGUUCAAUCCCAACUCGAUUCCUUUUUGGUUUGCCAAGUUCUUGACAUUGUAUCCCCCCUCUGCCCUCUCCCUUUCACGGUGAGCGGCGCGGAGUCUCCGUACGUGCGCUCGUCGAGUCGCGCGGCCAUGUGGCCCGCCCCCUCCGUAUGUGCACGCUGCCGUCAGCACCGGCUCUGGGUUGGUGGCGUCACGCGCUGGCUCGCCGAGGAGAUUUGAUUUACAGCUCGCCUCCUUGGUCUCAGCAUGUUUGUCCAGCGCGAAUACUGCCAGCCUGCCACCGAAUAUGAGCCGCAAAGCGGGGCUGCAGUGGCUAGAAAACAUAUCUUAAAUUUUUAUAUGUAUUAUUAAAUGGAGAAAGCUUGCAUCCAGCACGUACUCCUGCUGACCAAUAAAGUCUGAGAGCUGUCUCAAAGCUGUGGAUGUUUGUGAUUCCCCCUAUUCAUUUUACGAAAAGAGUUGUACCUUUUUUCCUGCUCGAAAAUGUUACAGAAAUUUUCACCUAAAAUGGCAGUCCCAUUAAAGCUGUGGUUUGGGAGUUGGGAUAUGGGGAGGAAUCCAUCUAGAUUUACAGGUUGCACUAAAUGAAUGCCAACACCCCCCAGAUAUAUCAUAUGUAUCACACAGACUGACUGAACAGCGAACACAUCUUCACUGUUGGCAGUUAGCGGUCCUGUGACAGAAGUCUGUCCUCAAGGACAGCCGGGCCAAUUCAGUGAAAGAAUGUCAGGGUCUCUCAGAUUCCCAUGUGCAAACACCUUGGGCUCUUUCACCUAUAGAAAAUGUGCAGGCAUAGAGGACGUGAGUAAAUUCUUGACAUAAGAGGAAAUUAUAUGAUGGCGGUUGUAGUUGCUACAAGAUACCAAAUUUAGCUACUAAAUUUGAUGAGCUAGUUUUUUUUCCAUACCAGGUAAAGUGGGGGAAUUUGGUGCUGAAGUUUUACUCUGGAGAAUCCAUCCACAGCAAACAAGCAUUUGUACCCACUAAUGGAGUGGUGUUCACUGUUUCAUAUAUACGAGAUAAGAGAUAGACCAUUAAAGCAUCAAAUAUAUGAAAAGCACAGAAGUUGCUGGGAGCAUCCAAAAAUUUGUCAGGUGCCCAAAAUGGCUGAAUGGUCGAUUUAACAAACUAUUAAACUCACUUCAGUAGAUAGGUGAAAUUCCUUUCCUGAAAUUCUUCAAUGGAAAUUUGUUCCUCCUUAGAAUAUCUGCCACAAAACAAAAGAUUGAUUAUGCAAAAACAAAAUUGUGUGAGAACUUUGAUGUAAAGGGAAGGAGACCAUAAUCGAUUAAUGUGGUCGUUGGAUUGCUUGAGCCACAUGGUUGUUUAUAUAAUAGUACAUGGCUUGGAGGGCAAGGAGCCUCUCCUAGAGAUAUGAAGGUCAUCACGAGAUUACAAUCAAUACCAAAGUAAUCCUAUGUACGUAAUCACAGCAGGGGCAUCACAUAUAGUGAGAUUGGAGAAGACCCUGCAAUCAUAACAUUCAAUGUGCCAGUGAUGUUGUGGCUGGAGUGGAAGCCAACGAGGUUGCUCAAGCGCCUUGUAGCUCUUGGUGCUGAUAUUGAGGUAGUUGAAAGUGAGGGUGAGUAGAUGUGGUCAGGAUGUUGUGUCUAGGAUGACCGUGUCGACGUAGCCUAAUUGGGGUUGAUGUUGUUGAGGUAGCACCAUACCACACAUGAAGCAGUGGGUGCAAGAGGAAGCGCCAUGGAGACGUGUUGAGGCAAAUGGCGACGCAAAGCUGAAUGGUAUGACGCGAAUGAUCCUACACAAGGCUGAAUGAUUCAUAUGUCGCGGCGGCGGUGCUCAAAGAAGACGGCGAAGAACUGAGACGUCAUGCGGGUGGCACACACAACGACAUGUAGUCAAUGGUAUCAAAUGGCAUGUCGUUGGUGGCAUGAAGAUGCAACAGUAGGAGCCCUUGGCGAUGUCGGCGCACCUCAAAGGGCAUGACGGUAGUCGCUAGCUAUGACUAGGAGUAGUGUGCUACUACCCAAAGAGGCGAUGCAACGGCCGCCUUUGCACCCGCAGAUGAUGUGUGCAAGAGCCUGGAUGGAUUGCACGCAAUCGGAUGAUCAGACCAUAGGCAUGAGAGGCAAGGAUGAUAGCGAGAAUGACUCGGCAUGAUCGAUGACGUCAUCCUACACCGAGUGUCGUGAGGACAGUGGCAAGGGUAUGGUGCGUCAUGUUAAGGUCAUGCCAAAGAGGAUAAGGUCGUGUAGCCUGACGCAUCAAAGAUUUGCAAGUGAUUUGGUGGUGUCCCAAUAGGUGUUGGUGAUGAUGAGCCAGUGAGAAAAACCAUACGAACACUGACUUCGAGGGUGUCCCCUGGAGUGCCGCAAACCCGACCAUGCCGCACAGGUGAUGAUGAGGAAGAGGCUGGUGUAGUCGAUGCUGUUGUCAGAGUAGGAGCACGUGAGGACAACACAUGGCGGUCGACACAUUCAAAGCUUAGAUCGGGAAAAACAAAAGAAGCGCCGAUCAAUCGACCGGUGAGAAAGAAACGAAAGAAACAUGGAUCAACAGAUCAAAAAAAAAAACUCUUCCAACCCUUGGUGCAGGCACUGCCCCUGACGGAAAUCAUUAGGCGAUAGAUGGAAACUAAUUUUAUGCUAUCAUAACAACCGGAUCCUUAUCCAUAUUCUCUAACAUAAAGUGAUGAAAGCUCAGAAUUGGUGGUAUCAAAAUUUAAGAAGGAUCAAAGGAAUGUACAGUAAUCAACGAACAUGACAAUAAAGACAGAUGCGUCACCAAUUCCCCAUUCACCCCUAAUAGAAGACCAACGCAAAAGUAAUCAGCGGUUCAGUGCUUCCGAAUAUAAAAUUAGUAUGCAAAUGUUUCCAGAUAACACAAUACAAUUAAAAAUGUCUAAGAAACAAAUACAUCUUAACUAUGAGUCCAGCUCAAUGUUCAACCUCUUUAUAAUUAAAGAUGGCAGUGUUCGACUUAGGGCUAUGCUGUGGCAAAAAUACUAACACCUAUUGUCUGUCUAUGAGGCUAUGAAAUUCUGUACCUGACUUCACAACAUCAUAAUAAUUGUCCAGAUAGAUUCCAGAGUGUAAAUCAAACUGGACUAUCGCAGAAAGUAUACACUCAAUAAAAGUUGGGAAAACUGUAUGCUGGACCAUAUAAGGCAGACGUAUCGUGUAGGGAUAUCUCGUGAGACUCGAGGUAUAUUUUGCCAAAUAUAGUGAAAGUGUGGUUGGCAAAGAAAGGUAAGACCAAAAGCAUGCUAGUCAGGGAGUAGCAAAGAGACAUGCCUGAUUCAGUAUUCCAAUAACCGCAUCCUACAACGACCACUACUGAGAAUACUCAUAAAACUAAUGGGACUUAAAAGUUUAGCCUGAUGGUCCUAAAUAGAAGUACAGAAAUAAAAGAUUAAUGGAAUCAAUAAUAAAAGAAGUGUUUUCUUGAUAAGAACCAACAGCGAACUAACUUUGUAAUAUAGGAGCAUACCUCCACGGAUAUUCGCUUUCGCAGAAACGAGAAACCCCACUCAUCGCGGUGAAGGCAUCAAUAUGUACCAUCUUUUCCUUCACUGAAGAAUCUGGUAACAGAGGAAUGCAAAGAUCAAUGGCUAGUGGUAUCUGCCAACAAAGGACCCUAUUGUCCAAAACUCCACAGACCCCAUAACCGUAGUAAAGGCCAUUAAGAGUAUACAUCUGCUCGAUUUGUUAUUCUGUGCUUUUAGUUUAUUCAAACUUAAGUUUCAUUCUUAAUAAAUAGAGGUACCUAUACCUUAACUGUAGUUUGACUAGAGGACACAAGAAUAGUUUCAUGUAUUCCAAUUUAGUCAUAUAGCCCUCACCUGCUUCAUGUAGAGCCUUUAGAGCAUAGCCACCAGGAUAAUUGUUGUAGGAUGCCAUAAAAGUCACAGCAGAGUAUCCUAGACUACAGGAACCAUACAUGAGUUAUCGAUGCUAAAUAGAUCCUAUUCCAAAAACAGUUACAAAUUAUAAAUUUAUAAUCAAUUAAGGCAGAAUUAUUCUACCUGACAAGAAAGGCACCAAGCAUGAGAAUAUAGAGUAAAUUCCACCCAGCUUUCUUUCGGUUAUUAUAUCUGGAAAUGAUGAAGAAAAACAAAUAUUAGUGCUCUGACACUUGAACGUCAAGGAUUUUCAUAAAGGAGGUAGAAAAUUGAUGCUAACAUUCCCAGCUUGAAUUGGUCAUUGUUGAAAUGGUAUGAAAUAGAUAAGAUAGUUGCUCACAGUCUGCUAGCUGCUAGUGAAGCGGACACAUUAAACAUGGGAAUUGAGCCGAUUAUGAAACGAAGUUCCUGAAACAUAAAAGAUAUUAACCAUUAUGUGCAAUAUCGGCCAAGUGGAUUUCAGAUAUAUGAAUCAGACUAUUAUCCAGAGAUGAAGAAUUACCUUAUGUGGAAGUUUUGAAUAGAGUACAACAAAUAAGAAGACCGGAAGCAUGUAUGGUACUAUCCUUCUAUCAAGAAGGGCACCAACCUGAAAGUGAACUAUAAGGCUUCAUCAGAUACAUAUCUGGUAAAAAUCAACCAAAAAAUACAUCGGUAAAUCAGCAAUGCCCUAACAAUACCUGAAAUGUCAACUAGCUAGUUCAUCAACAUUUAGAAAUAAAUAAUUGCUUUUAUGAAUCCAAUGCAAUGCCAACCAAAGCUAAGAAAGUACCAUCUGUUUAAACAUGGUUAAAUGUAAUAAAUACUUGGGCAACCCUUAGAACAUUAAUCCCUUACAAUUUCAAAGUAUCUUGAAGUAAAAUUGGAAAUGGAAAAUAUGGCUUUUAUCAUUAUAAUCCUUUAGGUUGUAUACCUACAUGGUGACAUCAAAUCUGAAAGAAGAAAAGUACCUAGUGUCACGAAAAAAGGCGUGCAAAUAUUUUAGAAACACUAUGCUCUAAGGUCACUUAAAAUGCAAACAACAGAUCGUAUGAUAGUUCUAACCAGAUAAAAAUCUGUCUUACCAUGCAAAGAGGGUACGCCACAAGCAUGGAGCGUGGAAGUGCUGAGGUAAAGUACCAAUGAAUUGAAUGGGUCUUAGCUUAAGUCAAGGAGAACAUCAGUGCCAGUGGGAUAGUACAAAGGUUCCCCGGUACAAAUCUAACAACAAGGGAAUAACAUUUGAACAAGACUUGGGUGUUAUGUUUCAUUUGUAAAUGUACAUUGAAUAAAUUGAAUGGAACGUUCAGCCCAGAGAGAAAAGUAACAUAAUGGAAGAGAAUAACAGAUUAGAUAUUUGGGAGAGGAAAGAAAUAUAAGUAUAGUUUCACAAAAGCAGAGAGGAUACGCCCCAUUCUGAACUUCGAUUCAGAACUGAAUUAAACCAGAGAACUUCAAAUUCUGGCCACAGGAUUCGACGCCACAUUAUAGAGUCAAUUAGCACCGUAAAUCCUGAAACAUUAUUCAUAGUGAAGCCAACAUUUUCUUAAAUGUUUGUGUGGCAAAUCCAUAACAGAAUACACAAGGUAACACAAAGAAACAUACCGAUGCAUAUAAGGGCAGUGCUCACACAAUAUUUUACUGCUUCCAGCAGAGAAACAGACCUGCUCUGUAAAUAGCAUAGUCAAAUCCAUAUAUUAGAGUAACUCAGCACCAACUGUACAGAAUUCAUAUAAAUAAAAACAUGAUGUAAGGAUGAUUCUUAUAGUAGCCAAGAGUAUACAUUACUAUAACAGCGUAAUAAUACUACAGCUUCAACCUCAAGAUCAUUGCAAGGUAUGGGAUAUAUGGCUAUAAGAAUGACAGAGCUUGGACAUAAAUUCUGAGGGGGCAGUCUUGAAUAUUCAUUGCUUAAGUUGGUACUUUACGAAUGGUGUCACCUUGUGCUUUUGCCCUAACUCACUGAACACAGAAUGAGAUGUGCUGAACGCCUUAAAACUCAAACCUGGACUUGAAGCACUAUGAGCAAAGCUGCAUCAAACUUGACUCAAACAAUCUAAACAACACAUUCAUCAGUUAAGGAGUUUUGACAUUGUUAAUGCACAUAGCCCAGUGACAUAUAAUUUGGAUUCUUGCUUUCGACAGUAUAUAUAAGAACAAGAAACUGGUAAUCUUUACAACUAGAUCAGAUACUGCUGGUUCAGGAUACAAAUUAAAAAACACCAAGAUCUUUCAGAAGACACCUUGAAUCAUUCCUCCUGUAUUUUCUGAGGGUUGGACCUUUGAGUAUGGUCAAGGGCAAUUCAUAUCCAUACCAUCUAAGCAUUCCCCAAAGAUCAGGACUAGAGUUCUGUUUCUACUAUUUAACGGUGGUUCCAACCAGGUUCACUUCAAGGCAAACUAAAUACUUUCAAACCGGCAAUUGCAAAAUGAGUAUUUUCGAAGGACAUUUUAGGAAUCUAGAUUUUAAACAUAUUGAACCCCUAAACAAAAUUUUCUGGACAGAAUCACCAAUUCCUGUAUAAUAAAGUAAUUAACUAAAAAAUACAUUGAAAUAAGGUAAAACUGUAGAAACAUGCAAACUAUGUGAUGAAAUAAAAUAGGUUUGAACGUCUGGUAGGCCAGGGACUCACCAAUAAAAGUGCAAGCCCUAUUGGGCCAAGAAGAAGAAUUAUAUCACAUCUAAAAAUGAUCGCUGCAGCAAUCUGCAAGAAAAUGAGAAUUACACUGUCAUGUGCAGCCCAUUAGGGCCCAUGAGAUGGAGCAGCCCCAACCCAUUGAAGGCCUGGUGCACUGUUCACCGCGUGGUUAUGUUCACAGCAGCCCUAGGAUUAGAUUUGUUAUUUAGAGAUAAGAUUAGAUUGAGUUGGUUCCUUAAUUCUAGAGAUUGGUUUCUUAGAAGUCAAGGCACCCCAUCUAUAUAAGGAUGGGAUUGUAACUCUUUGAGUUAGGCAAAGAAAUAGUUCCUAUCCUCCUCUCUAUCCCUGCCCUUGUGGUGCGGCCGCCGGGCAUUGGCAUGGUCGCGCCACUUGGGUUCAGGGCCAUCUAAAGUAUGCCCAUGACAUACACAUAGUUUGAUAUAAUUUAAUUGCAUAAAAAGCUUCAAUCCUUUGUUUCCCUGAUACUUGGUGCUGAAACUAAGAACUAUAACUCAAUUUGGUGCUGAAACUUGCAAUUGGUGCAAUCAUGCCAUAUCCAGAAUUUUAGAUUGAUUUUACUUAUUCUUUGUGUGCACCAACUCAAAUUUUGAGAAACAAGAAUCCAUGGUAAUGUUGGGACAAACUGGUCUUUAGGAAAAUGUGAAGACAACAAAAUUCAAAUUCAAAGAGCAUAUUUAAGGUAAGGCAUACCAGGGCUUGUAAUGUACAAAGGUUGCUUCCAUUAAACCAUAAAGAGUAUGCCAAGUUGACUGCAUGACAUAGACCAUAGAAGAGUCACAUUUUCUUUUAGCAAACUCCUAAUUAGAUUUUCAUUGUUGCCAAAACCUUGACAGAAACAGAUUUCUGAUUUGUUUCUACAGUGUGCCGCGUGCUUACCUAAAGCUAAAGCAAAGAUAUUUGGAAGCGGACGACUUGAGUAGAACAGCAAGUGAAACUGGAUAGCAGUUAGUAUCACAAAGAACACUUCAGCUUGAUGACCAAACUUCUUUUUCACCUGCUUGUUAGAAGUAAGCAAACCGAACUGAACCAUGAUCUCCAAUUACAGAAAAACAGGAAAUCAAGUAUAAGCUCUUAAAUAAAAAAGUUACCACAAUGGAUACAACCAUCUAAUCAAAACAAUGCAUGCCAUAAUGAUAUCUGCUACGAUCCAAGAAAAAAAAAACAGGCUAGGAUUUUAAAGAAGACCAAUGUAUUGCUGUGCGAUGCUCCAGAUAAGUGAACCGUGCAUUAACAGCACAUCAUCCACUAGUGAACCGCUAUACAAAUCUUAAGUAAAUUUGUUUCAUGGUAUUAAAAGUCUGCAUAUACUAUAUUCAAAUCUUACAAGGAAUUCCAUUACUAAUCUUUAAUUCUUGAUCAUCUUUCUGCGAGCUGGUUGCAUGCCUGGCAUUAUUUAUGUAUUAUUCAUUUCAGUAAAUCGUUACGUUUUCAGAAUAUCAAACAACAGAAAGCAGCUAGCAGUAAAGCACUGACAGCAUCAAGAGUCAGAUAUAGUGAGAGAUGGGAGAAAAAUACCUGAACUCGAAGAAGUCUCAAACUCAACAAGGUAACAAAACUCAAUAGUAAUCGAACUACAAAAGUAAAUAGGAAAAAAAAA
Molecule: long non-coding RNA, 74535 nt
Filed under: Setaria viridis
Lineage: Eukaryota; Viridiplantae; Streptophyta; Magnoliopsida; Poales; Poaceae
Description: long non-coding RNA (SVIR_LNC008395)
Source: RNAcentral